AGAUCUAUUCAUCCUUUGUCCAAGCCAAUCUGAGCCUUUGCAAUUUUCUUUUCAUUGCUUGCAUAGUUGAAUUAUCGGUUGCAUCGUCGUGUCGAGGUGCUGGUCUUAGUGUCUAGUUCGUUUAUAUUUCUGUUCACAUUAGUCACGCCGCCGCUGCAUCGUUAUCCCUUCCGCUGUCCACCACGCAUCCAUCAAUUUCCACCAUGUGCUACCCACCGUUCAUUGCCAUAAUCAUAGUUGAGAAUGUUCACAUCUUCGCUUGAUCCAAUCUGCAUCUUAUCUAGUUUGUUUUGGAAAUAGAGAGAGAGAAAAAAGAGAGAAAAAAGAGAAAAAAAGAGAGAAACAGGUAGAAAAAAAAGUGUGAGAAAAAAAAGAGAGAAGAAAAAAAAACAAAAUUCGGAUCUAUCUAGACUCAAUCUCGUAGUUGGAUUGGAAUCUGUUUUGUGCACUGUAUAGUAAAACAGGCAUAACUUCCGCGUACGAAGUCCGUUUUGGCUCCGCAAGUACUCAAACGAAAGCUAGCGACGAGCCGCAUCUAAAUAGUUGCAAAGCACGUUCAAUAUUUGGCACCUCAAAAUCGGCUUCUAAAUAGGUCUUUUUGCCCUCCGAAGUUCGCGAACACAGCUUAUUCCAGUUUUUCAAGCCAGUUUUAGAAUUUUUUGACUCCUCAUAUCAACUCAGAAUUGAGUGAUUCUUUUUGCGUUUGAAAGCUUGAGUCAGUGCCUUUUUGAGAAAAAUUAUUAGAAAGAUUGCACAAACUUUUCCCGAGAAAAGUUGAGGAGAAAGUUGUUGAUAUAUCCUGCUUGGUUGUGUUUUCACAUCAUUAUCUUUACUGCUAUUGUGACCUUCACUUAUAUCUUGCUGUCCAGAGCUACUUCAUAUCCUUUAUUGAUGCUAGUUGUGCUACGCCGUGACCUUAUUAGUGUUCUAGGCUCGCGUCUCUAGUUCUGAUCUAGCCUAGGACCAGCACAGUACCGUCGUUGAGCGUUUAUUCAACAUUGCAUCUUUGAGUUGAUUAUUGAUAAUAUUUUGCUACCAUAUAUAGCCAACCCAGCUCCACAUAUUUCUACACCGUAUAUAUGUACGUUCUCCUGGCAAUCGCUUUACACAAUCUUCGGAGUUAUUUGACACCGCUGGUUGCCUGUCACCAUCUGCCGCAUGGUAAGAACUUGUAAGAUAUUGAUAUUUGCUUUACUGUGAGCACUUUACAACCACAUCCUAGUAGUUCAUUGGAACAUUAUUCUCGAAUUUUGUUUCUUGUUUCUACUAAUCAUGACAGGUUCCGUAGAUAGAAGUUCUUGGACGACGGACACAUCAUCACCAUCACAAGAGUUGGGACGACACACACAAGCACAUGGUCAGGGUUAUCCCUUUACCGUCAUUUGAGGGUAGAUUUAAUCCUGCUAUUUAUCUAGCUUGGGAGCUUGAAGUAGAACAAGUUUUUAGUCACCAUGACUCUUCUGAACUUGAGCUAGUACGAGCUGCCACUAGAGCAUUUACUGGUUUUGCUUCUGUUUGGUGGAGUGUGCAUUGUAAGAAAAACAUUGAUAACCAACCCACAACUUGGAAAGAUUUGAAAGAUCUAAUGAGACAACAAUUUUUCCCUCCUUACUAUCGUCGUGAAUUGCUUUGCAAAUUUGAACAAUUUAAACAAGGCAACAACACUGUUCAUGCUUACUACCAAGAGUUCAAAUCUUAUAUGCAUCAUUGUGACAUAGAAGAAUCUGUGAAUGAUACAAUGAAUAGAUUUUUUGGUGGUUUGAACCAUGAUAUUCAGGCACGAUUUCAGUAUAUUCCUCGUUGCAUUACUGGUAUGUAUGUUCGUGCUUGUACCUUUGAGAGACAGUUACAGGAGGAUGCAUUGGGUGACUACAACAACUACUAUUCUAGUUCAUGCUCACCACCACCGCUUGGUUCCUCCACCGUUGCACCUACUAGAGCAGCCACACCUCAGAUUGUGAGCGCUACAUCAUCUCAAGGGUAUGGUACAUUGCCAUCAUCCGUACCUAAAUCAGCUACAUCUUUGCGACAAGGUAAUUGUAAAGGUAUUGAUGAUAUAACUUCACAUGAGAAUGAUGCAUGCCUAGUUAACUUGGAUACAUCAUGUGUUGAGUUACCUGUUGAUUUGAGCGCAUCACCUAUUUUAGAGAAUCAUGUUACUGUCAUGAAUGCGUCAUGUGAUCAAACACCUGAAAUACCAACAAUUUUGAGUGCACCCAAUGAAUUAACUGUUGAUGCAAAAGAACCAGUGUUUAAUCAUUUUGAUAUGACCUCUAAUCUUGGUGAUGAUUCUGUGUCAAAUGACUUAUUGCAUGUUUUCUUAUUUAAGCAUGUUGUAGCAUGUAAAUUUGAUGCAAGUAAGGUUUAUUCACCAAUGUUGGGAUGGUUUAAUGAUGAAUAUUGUCAAUCUUUUCAUAUGAAUAAGAGCUUCACUUAUAUGUGCAAACUGAGUUGCAAUACUUUCAUGCCUUCUACUUCUUGUGAUAAUAUUUUGGCUUUAUAUUUUAUUAGCUAUGAAAGUUACUCAUGUAUACAUGUGUCAUAUGUGCAAAAUCCACGGGAAGUAAAAAUGGAUGAUGUAUACAUAUACAACAUGUACACCUUGUCUCUUUUGUUAGCCACAUUUCAGAUUAAGCAACGCCGAGGACGGCUUUAUUUUCAAGAAGGGGAGAAUGAUGAGGACAUUACUACCUUGGAUACGACCAAAAAUAUUGCAUACAUGCAUAUUUGUCAGGUGAUUUCUAGUGCAAACUAUUCAAUAAUCUAUUUAUGUUAUCCAGAACAAAAAUACUUCACACACUUUUGUAUUUUGUCUAAUUGCAGGUGUAUGGGACAUUUGUACAAUCCACAUAUGAAGAUAGGGGAAAAGGUGAAGUUUAUGUUCUGUUCAAAAAGUCCUCUCACGUCACUUUUGGGCCAAGAGAAGAUAGAGUCCAAGUCUCUCACGUUCUGGAUUCAGAUUCGGACUGCACAGACAUACCUGAGUCAAAACGCGAACAACUUUUUCAUACGGACUCCGAAUUGGGUGAUUCUUUUUUUGUUGGAAAGUAGAUUUCGUCCUCUUUCCAACCCAAUUGGAUUCACCUUUAAAUUCGUCCGGAGGGUUGAGAUAUGGACGAAACAAUCUGACACUACAGCAGAAUCCGAGUCAAACAACAAGUCCAAAGGUGUUGCAUCACCUCCACUUGGGCCCAUGAGCCUUGUACGACCUAGGGUUGGUUUUAGGCUGCCUUGGGACGUCCUCCCACCUCCUUGGUCGACACCCCUUGCUCCUAUAUAAGUAGAUCCAUCUAGUAGCUUUUCCUAGGGAUUUGUUUAGUUAAAAGUUAGCCAUUGCAACUUCGUGCACUUCGUUUGUGUCCAACGACCAGACCAAGACCGCUUCCGGAUCCCCACCUUUACCAAUACUUCAUCUAUAUUCGCAAUAUUCAGAUUGCAUUAUCAUAUUUUUGCUUGUUCUUCGAUUGCGUGCAGGAAUAGAGCUUCGUGGUCAGGCUGAUCGUGCUCCGGCGUGGUCAAUAACCUCUCGGAGUUGGUUUAGCGAUUGCUAAGGCGCAACGUUGUGCACGUUCAUAGUCGGAUCAUCAAAGUCGUCUCCACCAAAUCGAUAGUUAUCAUCUCAUCGAAAGAUCGGGACACCCUCGCCUCUAUCAGUUGUCGAACAUCUCGACAGACGGGACGUUAAGACCCGCGCCGCGGUUGAUGGGAGUCUUGGUGACUUGCACGUUGCUGAUGACGGGUGAACAGAGCAUUGGGGGAGCGCCAGCGGUGGCCGCGCACUUGAGCUGGUCUGCCGAGCUGAAGGUGAUGGCGCACUUGGACCACCUGAGCGGGCGUGUGACCUCGAGCUUGGGGAGGACUGCGUUCACCUCGCGAGCAAACUGCUUGAAGAUACGCUGUGAGGCUGGGGCUUGAGCUCCGCCCAAGAUGCAGGCGAUAGCACGCGGCUCCUGGAAGCCCCCAGUCCCCUCGUCUUGAUGGUGGUCGUUGUUCCUUCUUGGUGGUGGCGGCAUCGGAGGAAGACCGGUGUUGCCCUGAGGGCGAUCCUCAUGUGGCUGAUCCCUCCAGGCACCCUCGCGAGGUUGAUCUUGCCAGCGGUCCUCACGAGGCCGGUCACGCCACUCCUGGCAUGGGCCCCGGUCAUCCCAGCGUCCUCCACCACGUCCUCCUCGGCCGUAGCCUCAGUCGUUGCGCUCGGGGCGUCGACCGAAGCGUCCGUUGCGAAUGACCCUGAGCUCUUGACAGUCAUUGGUGUUGUGGCUGUGCACGUUGUGGAAGGCGCAGAACGGUCGGCUGCUCUUGGACGACUCAGGCUGGUCCCUGCCGCGCUUCAUGUCCGGCUCCGCCGCGAGCACGGUGACUCCCUUGUGCUUCACGUCCUUGGCCUUGGCUUUCUUCUCCUUCGGGUCGGCAGCGGGGAGCUCGAGGAGGGGAAGGCGUCCCUCCAUAGCUCUUGCGCACUUGGUCGCCAGGUUGAAUAGCUCCAGAGAUGUGCACAACUCCUCGUGGAUGGCGAUUUCCUCCUUCAUCUUGACGUCACGGACGCCAUCAGAGAACGCCGAGAUGAUGGCCUCAUCUGUCACCUUGGGGAUCUUGAGGCGAACGUUUUUGAAGCGCUGGAUGUACUUCUGGAGGGUCUCUCCUGGCUGCUGCUUGACGCGGCGCAGGUCACCCGUGGCCGGAGGGCGGUCGCGAGUGCCCUAAAAGUUGGCGACGAAGCGGUCACGCAUCUCGUUCCAGGAGGAGAUCGAGCCUGGAGGCAGGUUCAGGAGCCACGAGCGUGCGCCAUCCUUGAGAGCCAUGGGGAACCAGUUCACCAUGACUUUCUCGUCGCCGUUGGCCGCCUCGAUGCUGAGCUCAUAGAGCUGCAGGAACUUCGCGGGGUCGGGGGUGCCGUCGUAGCGCUGAGGCAGGUCUGGCUUGAACUUGCCCGGCCAUGCGACGCUACGCAGCUCAGGAGUGAAGGCGCGGCAGCCCGCGGUGGCCACCGAGACCCUUUGCUGAUGUGGAGCCCGGCCUUGAUGCCCGCACACCGCCACCGCAAGCGGCGCACGGUCUUGUCGUAGCAGUGCCGGGAGCGCAGGAGCGUUCUCCCGCGGCUGUGGGACUUCUUGGCAGCUUCUUUCUUCUCGCGCGGGCGCCGGACAUGGUGGGUCGCGCCGGGGGGGCGCGCGUCUUGGCGCCAGGGCGCCAUCUUGGGGCAGAGCUGGUGGAGGCGCUCCAUGAGCCACAUCACCUGCAGCUGGCGGAGGGCGAGGCAACGAGAGGGACGGCACAGGGGAGCCCCCUGCAGCACUGACAAGCUCGGCGAUGCGGUCGAGCCAGUCCUCGUAGAGGUCGUCGACGGGGCGGUAGCGCAGGAGCUCGCGCGCCAUGAGCAGCGCGGCCUGCGCGUCCGAGAGAGCGCGACGAGCGUGGGACGACGAACCGACCGGGGUCAGUGAUGGAGUGGCGGUGCGGCCGUCCCGCCGCACCGAGGGGUGCAGUGAGGAUGCUUGCUGCUCGUUCCCCACCGGGCCGGUGGCGGUGUUGGCGGCAGGCGACGGGGAACGACGGGGUGGCCCGCCGACAGGAGCCGUCUGAGCAACGCGGGCGGCGAGGGCGGCCCGGCGCUCUGCGCGAGCUCGGCGAGCAUCCGCCAUGGAGAUGACGAGGCGACGGAACGCGGAUCAACGGAAGGAGAGCUUUGGCGCACCCCUACCUGGCACGCCAAAUUUCGGAUUUCGGGUUCCGGUAAAACCCUCGAGGUUCGAACACUGGGGUGCGCACAAGAUUUCCCCCUACCAGAUCAAGCCCUCAGCCUCACCAGGAUCUCUAAGCUUAGCUCGUCAAACUCGCAACACAAGAGACACAAGAUUUAUACUAGUUCGGGCCACCGUUGUGGUGUAAUACCCAACUCAAGUGUGGUGUGGUGGAUUGCCUCUCGGGCUGAGGAUGAACAGUACAAGGGGAAGAACAGCCUCCUGAGGUGAGGUGUUCUUGUGCUUGGUGGGUGUGAGGAUGAACUGAAUGAGUUCGAGACGAGCUCCCGCUGAGUUGCCUCCUACUGUGGUGGCUAGUCCUAUUUAUAGAGGCCCUGCUCCUCUUCCCAAAUAUUGAGCGGGAAGGGAUGCCACAACGGCCAAUUUGAAAGGGGAUGCCGGCUUGGGCUCCACGAUGACCUCCGUCUUGCCGUCCCGCUGGUCUUGGUCUUGUUGCACCGAUAUGGAAACCUGAUAGAGGCAAAGGUGUCCCGUCUUUCGAUGAGAUGAUGGAUAUCGCUUUGAUGGAAGUCGACUUUGACGAUCCGACUACGAACGUGCGAGGACGUCGCGCCUUAGCAAUCGCUAAACCAACUCCGAGAGGUUAUUGACCACACCAGAGCACGAUCAACCUGACCACGAGGGUCUGUUUCCUGCGAGCAAACGAAGAACAAGCAAGAAACUGAGAUUGCAAUGCGGAUAUUGCGAAUAUAAGAUGAAAGCUUUAUUGAUCAAGGUGGGGUUCUGUGACGCCUUUGUCUGGUCGUUGAACACAAACGAAGUACGCGAGGUUGCAGCUAUGGGGAACUUUUAAUCUAAACAGAACCCAAAGCCUAAACGACGCCCUAAGGGCUGUAUAUAUGGAGGAAGAGGGGGGAAUUUCGUGGCCCUUGGGGAAGGGGUCCAAAACCAACCCUAUCUCUUGUUUCCCCACACAUACGGACUCUAAAAAUAGCCUAUACUCAAGUAUUUCGAAAUUACAUGGGCCUGGCCCAAUAAUAAGGUGACGCAGCACCUAAAAUAGCCUCUGGACGAAAGUUAUGAAGUAGCAUCUUGUAUAUUUCGUCCAAGGCUUCAUGCAUGCAUUAUGGUGGCUUCAACGUCCUGAAAUCAUCACUUGUAACUCCGUUCUUGUCCCCCAUGCGCAUGCCAUCAUCUCCAUGCUUGUUCUUGCUCCAAUGUUGAUCGUUCUCAAAGCUAGGCCCUUCAUUUGUAAGCAAAACAAAUGUAUCCAAUUUAGGCAGCAUCAUAUUCUCAUGAACAUUAGAAUCAUUACCAAGAAACGAAAGUACAUGGUAAUUUAAUUGGAGUGCGCGAGCUCUAGUAAUUGGUCCAGUAUGUAUAGCAGCAGGGGCUGUGGGUGUAACAAUGGUAUUGAUGUCCUCAUCAUCCUCCCCUUCUUGAAAUGAAGUCGUCCUCGACGGAAGCUCAUCUGCCUCACCCAAAUAAGGCUUCAAAUCUGCAAUGUUAAAAGUGGGACUAACCCCAAAAUCUGCAGGCAGCUCAAGUUUAUAUGCAUUAUCAUUUAUUUUCUCUAACACCUUAAAAGGACCAUCAGCACGUGGCAUUAGCUUUGAUUUGCGCAAAUCAGGAAAUCUAUCCUUACGCAAAUGUAACCAAACAAGAUCUCCAGGUGCAAACACAACAUGUUUUCUACCCUUAUCUCCAGCAAGUUUAUAUUUAGCAUUCAUACGCUCAAUGUUUUCCUUAGUUAACUCAUGCAUUUUAAGAUCAUUUCAGCACGUUGUUUAGCAUCAAAAUUAACCUUCUCCGAAGAUGGAAGAGGCAACAAAUCAAUAGGUGCACGAGGUAGGAAACCAUACACAAUUUCAAAAGGGCACAUCUUAGUAGUAGAAUGCAAUGAACGAUUAUAAGCAAACUCAAUAUGAGGCAAGCAUUCUUCCCACAUUUUCUUAUUAUUCUUCAAAACAGCCCUAAGCAUAGUAGACAAUGUUCUAUUGACUUCUUCAGUUUGUCCAUCAGUUUGGGGGUGACAAGUAGUACUAAAAAGCAGUUUAGUCCCCAACUUAGCCCAUAAACAUCUCCAAAAGUGGCUAAGAAAUUUAGUAUCAUGAUCAGAAACAAUAGUAUUUGGCACACCAUGCAAACGAAUAAUUUCACGGAAGAACAAAUCAGCAACAUUAACAACAUCAUCGCUUUUAUGCCUUGGUAUAAAGUGUGCCAUUUUUUAGAAUCUAUCCACGACAGCAAAUAUGCUAUCCCUCCUCUUCUUUGUUCGACGUAAACCUAAAACAAAGUCCAUAGAUAUAUCCUCCCAAGGAACACUAGGUACAGGCAAAGGCAUAUAUAAACCAUGAGGAUUGAGUCGUGACUUAGCUUUUUGACAUGUAGUGCAGCGAGCAACAAAACGCUCAACAUCCCGUCUCAUCUUUGGCCAAAAGAAAUGUGUAGCAAGUACGUCCUCCGUCUUCUUCACGCCAAAGUGUCCCAUUAAUCCUCCUCCAUGCGCCUCCUGCAACAACAAAAGACGAAGAGAGCUAGAUGGAAUGCAUAGCUUGUUAGCACGGAACACAAAUCCAUCAUUAACGACAAACUUGUUCCAGGUUCUUCCUUCUUUACAAUUCUGCAAAACAUCUUUAAAAUCAGCAUCAUGCACAUAUUGAUCUUUGAUGGUCUCCAAACCAAAUAUUUUGAAGUCAAGUUGUGAAAGCAUAGUAUAGCGACGAGACAAUGCAUCAGCAAUAACAUUUUCUUUACCCUUCUUGUGUUUAAUGACAUAAGGGAAAGUUUCAAUGAAUUCAACCCAUUUAGCAUGUCUACGGUUCAGUUUAGCUUGACUUUUAAUAUGUUUCAAAGAUUCAUGAUCAGAAUGUAUAACAAAUUCUUUGGGCCAUAAAUAAUGUUGCCAUGUUUCUAAAGUCCGAACAAGAGCAUAUAGUUCUUAUCAUAAGUAGAAUAAUUCAGACUAGGCCCACUCAAUUUUUCAGAAAAGUAUGCAACAGGUUUACCAUCUUGUAAUAACACACCUCCUAAUCCAAUUCCACUAGCAUCACAUUCAAGCUCAAAAGUCUUAUUAAAAUCAGGAAGUUGGAGUAAAGGAGCAUGUGUAACCUUUUCUUUCAAUACCGUGAAGGCUUCUUCCUGUGCGGUACCCCAAACAAAAGGCACAUCCUUCUUUGUAAGCUCGUUGAGAGGUGCAGCAAUGGUGCUAAAAUCUCUCACAAAACACCUAUAGAAACCAGCGAGUCCAAGAAAACUCCGCACUUGUGUGACCGUUUUGGGCUGCGGCCAACUCUCAAUAGCUUCAAUCUUGGCUUUAUCAACUUCAAUUCCCUGUGGAGUAACAACAUAGCCAAGAAAAGAUACUCGGUCGGUGCAAAAGGCGCACUUCCCAAGGUUACCAAACAAACGUGCAUCACGUAGAGCAAUAAAAACAGCACGUAAAUGUUCCAAAGAUUUGCUAUAAAUCAGUAUAUCAUCAAAAUAGACUACCACAAAUCGUCCAAUGAAAGCACGUAAAACUUCGUUCAUUAGUCUCAUGAAAGUACUAGGUGCAUUAGUUAACCCGAAAGGCAUGACUAACCACUCAUAUAAACCAAACUUAGUUUUAAAUGCAGUUUUCCAUUCAUCUCCCAAUUUCAUACGAAUUUGAUGGUAUCCACUACGCAAAUCAACUUUGGAGAAUAUUGUAGAGCCACUCAAUUCAUCAAGCAUAUCAUCUAGCCUAGGAAUAGGAUGACGAUAACGAAUAGUAAUAUUAUUAAUGCCUCUACAAUCAACACAUAUACGCGACGUACCAUCCUUUUUAGGCACUAGUAUAAUAGGAACAGCACAAGGACUAAGAGAUUCGCGUAUAUAACCUUUGUCGAGCAGCUCCUGUACUUGAUGCAUAAUCUCCUUCGUCUCCUCUGGAUUGGUACGGUAAGGUGCACGGUUGGGUAGCGAUGCACCGGGAAUUAAGUCAAUUUGAUGCUCAAUCCCUCGAAUAGGUGGUAAUCCCGGUGGCACGUCUUGUGGAAUGACGUCAGCGAACUCCUGCAAAAUGUUAGUGACAGCAGGGGGCAAAGAGGAAGGCACGUCCUCGACUAAAAAUAAUGCCUCUUUGCACACAAAAGCAUAGCAAACAGAUUUGCUGAAAUCUAGCUCAUCAAUAUCAGAUUUUGUGGCAAUUAACAUGCACUUUUCUAUUUAAUUUCAGAAACAACACUAGAUGGUUUAUUAUUAGGUUUUAUUUGUUGCUCAAAUUCUUUUGCCACAAUCUGAUUUUCACUUCUCCUGUUUUGCUUUAUUAGCUCUAUUAAUGUCAUCUUUCAAAAUGGAAUCAGGAGUCAUAGGAAGCAAAGUAAUAUUUUUAUCCUUAUGAACAAGAGUAUACUGAUUGUUUCUACCAUGGUGUACAGAAUUUUUAUCAAAUUGCCAUGGUCUACCAAGUAAUAAGGAACAUGCUUGCAUGGGUACCACAUCACAAUCAACAUAAUCAGCAUAUGUAGAGAUACUAAAAUGCACACGAACAGUACGUGUUACCUUAACCUUACCGCUGUUGUUGAACCAUUGGAUGUAGUAAGGAUGUGGAUGUGGUCUUGUGGUGAGAGAUAGCUUCUCCACCAUCUCCAUGCUAGCCAAGUUGUUACAGCUCCCUCCAUCUAUGAUGACGCGAACAGAACGUUCCUUCACAACUCCCUUUGUAUGGAACAAAUUAUGCCUCUGAUUUUGCUCUGCUUGUGUGACCUGCACACUCGAAACACGUUGAUAGAGGCAAAGGUGUCCCGUCUUUUGAUGAGAUGAUGGAUAUCGCUUUGGUGGAAGUUGACUUUGACGAUCCGACUACGAACGUGCGAUGACGUCGCGCCUUAGCAAUCGCUAAACCAACUCCGAGAGGUUAUUGACCACGCCGGAGCACGAUCAAACUGACCACGAGGGUCUGUUUCCUGCGAGCAAACGAAGAACAAGCAAGAAACCGAGAUUGCAAUCUGGAUAUUGCGAAUAUAAGAUGAAAGCUUUAUUGAUCAAGGUGGGGUUCUGUGACGCCUUUGUCUGGUCGUUGAACACAAACGAAGUACGCGAAGUUGCAGCAAUGGCGAACUUUUAAUCUAAACAAAACCCAAAGUCUAAACGAUGCCCUAAGGGCUGUAUAUAUGGAGGAAGACGGAGAAAUUUCGUGGCCCUUGGGGAAGGGGUCCGAAACCAACCCUAUCUCUUGUUUCCCCACACAUACGGACUCUAAAAAUAGCCUAUACUCAAGUAUUUCGAAAUUACAUGGGCCUGGCCCAAUAAUAAGGUGACGCAGCACCUACAAUAGCCUCUGGACGAAAGUUAUGAAGUAGCAUCUUGUAUAUUGCGUCCAAGGCUUCAUGCACGCAUUAUGGUGGCUUCAAUGUCCUGAAAUCAUCACUUGUAACUCCGUUCUUGUCCCCCAUGCGCAUGGCAUCAUCUCCAUGCUUGUUCUUGCUCCAAUGUUGAUCCUUCUCAAAGCUAGGCCCUUCAUUUCUAAGCAAAACAAAUGUAUCCAAUUUAGGCAGCAUCAUAUUCUCAUGAACAUUAGAAUCAUUACCAAGAAACGAAAGUACCUGGUAAUUUAAUUGGCGUGCGCGAGCUCUAGUAAUUGGUCCAGUAUGUAUAGCAGCAGGGGCUGUGGGUGUAACAAUGGUAUUGAUGUCCUCAUCAUCCUCCCCUUCUUGAAAUGAAUCGUCCUCGACGGAAGCUCAUCUCCCUCACCCAAAUAAGGCUUCAAAUCUGCAAUGUUAAAAGUGGGACUAACCCCAAAAUCUGCAGGCAGCUCAAGUUUAUAUGCAUUAUCAUUUAUUUUCUCUAACACCUUAAAAGGACCAUCAGCACGUGGCAUUAGCUUUGAUUUGCGCAAAUCAGAAAAUCUAUCUUUACGCAAAUUUAACCAAACAAGAUCUCCAGGUGCAAACACAACAUGUUUUCUACCCUUAUCUCCAGCAAGUUUAUAUUUAGCAUUCAUACGCUCAAUGUUUUCCUUAGUUAACUCAUGCAUUUUUAAGAUCAAUUCAGCAUGUUGUUUAGCAUCAAAAUUAACCUUCUCCGAAGAUGGAAGAGGCAACAAAUCAAUAGGUGCACGAGGUAGGAAACGAUACACACUUUCAAAAGGGCACAUCUUAGUAGUAGAAUGCAAUGAACGAUUAUAAGCAAACUCAAUAUGAGGCAAGCAUUCUUCCCACAUUUUCUUAUUAUUCUUCAAAACAGCCCUAAGCAUAGUAGACAAUGUUCUAUUGACUACUUCAGUUUGUCCAUCAGUUUGGGGGUGACAAGUAGUACUAGAAAGCAGUUUAGUCCCCAACUUAGCCCAUAAACAUCUCCAAAAGUGGCUAAGAAAUUUAGUAUCACGAUCUGAAACAAUAGUAUUUGGCACACCAUGCAAACGAAUAAUUUCACGGAAGAACAAAUCAGCAACAUUAACAGCAUCAUCGCUUUUAUGACAUGGUAUAAAGUGUGCCAUUUUUGAGAAUCUGUCCACGACAACAAAUAUGCUAUCCCUCCCCUUCUUUGUUCGAGGUAAACCUAAAACAAAGUCCAUAGAUAUAUCCUCCCAAGGAACACUAGGUACAGGCAAAGGCAUAUAUAAACCAUGAGGAACUUAGCUUUUUGACAUGUAGUGCAGCGAGCAACAAAACGCUCAACAUCCCGUCUCAUCUUUGGCCAAAAGAAAUGUGUAGAAAGUAUGUCCUCCGUCUUCUUCACGCAAAAGUGUCCCAUUAAUCCUCCUCCAUGCGCCUCCUGAUAGAGGCAAAGGUGUCCCGUCUUUCGAUGAGAUGAUGAAUAUCGCUUUGAUGGAAGUCUACUUUGACGAUCCGACUACGAACGUGCGAGGACGUCGCGCCUUAGCAAUCGCUAAACCAACUCCGAGAGGUUAUCGACCACGCCGGAGCACGAUCAACCUGACCACGAGGGUCUGUUUCCUGCGAGCAAACGAAGAACAGGCAAGAAACUGAGAUUGCAAUCUGGAUAUUGCGAAUAUAAGAUGAAAGCUUUAUUGAUCAAGGUGGGGUUCUGUGACGCCUUUGUCUGGUCGCUGAACACAAACGAAGUACGCGAAGUUGCAGCUAUGGCGAACUUUUAAUCUAAACAAAACCCAAAGUCUAAACGACGCCCUAAGGGCUGUAUAUAUGGAGGAAGAGGGGGGGAAUUUCGUGGCCCUUGAGGAAAGGGUCCGAAACCAACCCUAUCUCUUGUUUCCCCACACAUACGGACUCUAAAAACAGCCUAUACUUAUGUAUUUCGAAAUUACAUGGGCCUGGCCCAAUAAUAAGGUGACGCAGCACCUAGAAUAGCCUCUGGACGAAAGUUAUGAAGUAGCAUCUUGUAUAUUUCGUCCAAGGCUUCAUGCACGCAUUAUGGUGGCUUCAACGUCCUGAAAUCAUCACUUGUAACUCCGUUCUUGUUCCCCAUGCGCAUGCCAUCAUCUCCAUGCUUGUUCUUGCUCCAAUGUUCAUCCUUCUCAAAGCUAGGCCCUUCAUUUGUAAGCAAAACAAAUGUAUCCAAUUUAGGCAGCAUCAUAUUCUCAUGAACAUUAGAAUCAUUAGCAAGAAAUGAAAGUACCUGGUAAUUUAAUUGGCGUGCGCGAGCUCUAGUAAUUGGUCCAGUAUGUAUAGCAGCAGGGACUGUGGGUGUAAUAAUUGUAUUGAUGUCCUCAUCAUCCUCCCCUUCUUGAAAUGAAGUCGUCCUCGACGGAAGCUCAUCUUCCUCACCCAAAUAAGGCUUCAAAUCUGCAAUAUUAAAAGUGGGACUAACCCCAAAAUCUGCAGGCAGCUCAAGUUUAUAUGCAUUAUCAUUUAUUUUCUCUAACACCUUAAAAGGACCAUCAGCACGUGGCAUUAGCUUUGAUUUGCGCAAAUCAGGAAAUCUAUCCUUACGCAAAUGUAACCAAACAAGAUCUCCAGGUGCAAACACAACAUGUUUUCUACCCUUAUCUCCAGCAAGUUUAUAUUUAGCAUUCAUACGCUCAAUGUUUUCCUUAGUUAACUCAUGCAUUUUUAAGAUCAAUUCAGCACGUUGUUUAGCAUCAAAAUUAACCUUCUCCGAAGAUGGAAGAGGCAACAAAUCAAUAGGUGCACGAGGUAGAAAACCAUACACAAUUUCAAAAGGGCACAUCUUAGUAGUAGAAUGCAAUGAACGAUUAUAAGCAAACUCAAUAUGAGGCAAGCAUUCUUCCCACAUUUUCUUAUUAUUCUUCAAAACAGCCCUAAGCAUAGUAGACAAUGUUCUAUUGACUACUUCAGUUUGUCCAUCAGUUUGGGGGUGACAAGUAGUACUAAAAAGCAGUUUAGUCCCCAACUUAGCCCAUAAACAUCUCCAAAAGUGGCUAAGAAAUUUAGUAUCACGAUCUGAAACAAUAGUAUUUGGCACACCAUGCAAGCGAAUAAUUUCACGAAAGAACAAAUCAGCAACAUUAACAGCAUCAUCGCUUUUAUGACAUGGUAUAAAGUGGGCCAUUUUCGAGAAUCUAUCCACGACAACAAAUAUGCUAUCCCUCCCCUUCUUUGUUCGAGGUAAACCUAAAACAAAGUCCAUAGAUAUAUCCUCCCAAGGAACACUAGGUACAGGCAAAGGCAUAUAUAAACCAUGAGGAUUGAGUCGUGACUUAGCUUUUUGACAUGUAGUGCAGCGAGCAACAAAACGCUCAACAUCCCGUCUCAUCUUUGGCCAAAAGAAAUGUGUAGCAAGUACGUCCUCCGUCUUCUUCACGCCAAAGUGUCCCAUUAAUCCUCCUCCAUGCGCCUCCUGCAACAACAAAAGACGAAGAGAGCUAGCUGGAAUGCAUAGCUUGUUAGCACGGAACACAAAUCCAUCAUUAACGACAAACUUGUUCCAGGUUCUUCCUUCUUGACAAUUCUGCAAUACAUCUUUAAAAUCAGCAUCAUGCACAUAUUGAUCUUUGAUGGUCUCCAAACCAAAUAUUUUGAAGUCAAGUUGUGAAAGCAUAGUAUAGCGACGAGACAAUGCAUCAGCAAUAACAUUUUCUUUACCCUUCUUGUGUUUAAUGACAUAAGGGAAAGUUUCAAUGAAUUCAACCCAUUUAGCAUGUCUACGAUUCAGUUUAGCUUGACUUUUAAUAUGUUUCAAAGAUUCAUGAUCAGAAUGUAUAACAAAUUCUUUGGGCCAUAAAUAAUGUUGCCAUGUUUCUAAAGUCCGAACAAGAGCAUAUAGUUCUUUAUCAUAAGUAGAAUAAUUCAGACUAGGCCCACUCAAUUUUUCAGAAAAGUAUGCAACAGGUUUACCAUCUUGUAAUAACGCACCUCCUAAUCCAAUUCCACUAGCAUCACAUUCAAGCUCAAAAGUCUUAUUAAAAUCAGGAAGUUGGAGUAAAGGAGCAUGUGUCAACUUAUCUUUCAAGACCGUGAAGGCUUCUUCCUGUGCGGUACCCCAAACAAAAGGCACAGCCUUCUUUGUAAGCUCGUUGAGAGGUGCAGCAAUGGUGCUAAAAUCUCUCACAAAACGCCUAUAGAAACCAGCGAGUCCAAGAAAACUCCGCACUUGUGUGACCGUUUUGGGCUGCGGCCAACUCUCAAUAGCUUCAAUCUUGGCUUUAUCAACUUCAAUUCCCUGUGGAGUAACAACAUAGCCAAGAAAAGAUACUCGGUCGGUGCAAAAGGUGCACUUCCCAAGGUUACCAAACAAACGUGCAUCACGUAGAGCAAUAAAAACAGCACGUAAAUGUUCCAAAUGUUCUUCCAAAGAUUUGCUAUAAAUCAGUAUAUCAUCAAAAUAGACCACCACAAAUCGUCCAAUGAAAGCACGUAAAACUUUGUUCAUUAGUCUCAUGAAAGUACUAGGUGCAUUAGUUAACCCAAAAGGCAUGACUAACCACUCAUAUAAACCAAACUUAGUUUUAAAUGCAGUUUUCCAUUCAUCUCCCAAUUUCAUACGAAUUUGAUGGUAUCCACUACGCAAAUCAACUUUGGAGAAUAUUGUAGAGCCACUCAAUUCAUCAAGCAUAUCAUCGAGCCUAGGAAUAGGAUGACGAUAACGAAUAGUAAUAUUAUUAAUGCCUCUACAAUCAACACACAUACGCGACGUACCAUCCUUUUUAGGCACGAGUAUAAUAGGAACAGCACAAGGACUAAGAGAUUCGCGUAUAUAACCUUUGUCGAGCAGCUCCUGUACUUGACGCAUAAUCUCCUUCGUCUCCUCUGGAUUGGUACGGUAUGGUGCACGGUUGGGUAGCGAUGCACCGGGAAUUAAGUCAAUUUGAUGCUCAAUCCCGCGAAUAGGUGGUAAUCCCGGUGGCACGUCUUGUGGGAAGACGUCAGCGAACUCCUGCAAAAUGUGAGUGACAGCAGGGGGCAAAGAGGAAGGCACGUCCUCGAAUGAAAAUAAUGCCUCUUUGCACACAAAAGCAUAGCAAACAGAUUGGCUGAAAUCUAGUUCAUCAAUAUCAGAUUUUGUGGCAAGUAAACAUGCACUUUUCAAUUUAAUUUCAGAAACAACACUAGAUGGUUUAUUAUUAGGUUUCAUUUGUUGCUCAAAUUCCUUUGCCACAAUCUGAUUUUCACUCUUAUUUUUCUCCUGUUUUGCUUUAUUAGCUCUAUUAAUGUCAUCUUUCAAAAUGGAAUCAGGAGUCAUAGGAAGCAAAGUAAUAUUUUUAUCCUUAUGAACAAGAGUAUACUGAUUGUUUCUACCAUGGUGUACAGAAUUUUUUUCAAAUUGCCAUGGUCUACCUAGUAAUAAGGAACAUGCUUGCAUAGGUACCACAUCACAAUCAACAUAAUCAGCAUAUGUAGAGAUACUAAAAUGCACACGAACAGUAUGUGUUACCUUAACCUUGCCGCUGUUGUUGAACCAUUGGAUGUAGUAAGGAUGUGGAUGUGGUCUUGUGGUGAGAGAUAGCUUCUCCACCAUCUCCAUGCUAGCCAAGUUGUUACAGCUCCCUCCAUCUAUGAUGACGCGAACAGAACGUUCCUUCACAACUCCCUUUGUAUGGAACAAAUUAUGCCUCUGAUUUUGCUCUGCUUGUGUGACCUGCACACUCAAAACACGUUGAGCAACUAAGCAUUCAUACCUGUCAGCGUCUUCAGGAGCCAUGUAUUGCGUCUCAUUUUCAGAAUCAUCUCCACCAUGUUCUUCACGUGUAAUAAGAGCCAAAGUCUCCUCAUCAUAGUCACUAGCGGACUCAUACCCACCAUCCUCAGUAGCAAUCAUGACACGCUGAGAUUUGCAUUCUCUCGCAAAAUGUCCUCUUCCCUUACAACGACGACAAAUAAUAUCACUUGUGUGCCCUGUCGAUGCCAUGGAAGAAGAAGAGCUCUGCACAGGCCCGGCAGGUGUGCUCUUGGCAGAGAGUGGUGGUUGUGCCUGCUUUCUUGUAUCACGGCUGGAGGUGGCACCUGAUGGAGGUGAUGGUGAAGUGGAAAUAGAAGAUGCACGCGGUGUCCAUGAUGAAGGUCGACCUGUAGAAAAGUUAGUUCGCGCCAAUGGCUGUCGAUCCUGCACUUCACGUUCAGCUUUACAAGCAAGAUGGAAUAAACNNNNNNNNNNNNNNNNNNNNNNNNNNNNNNNNNNNNNNNNNNNNNNNNNNNNNNNNNNNNNNNNNNNNNNNNNNNNNNNNNNNNNNNNNNNNNNNNNNNNAGCUGCUCGACAAAGGUUAUAUACGCGAAUCUCUUAGUCCUUGUGCUGUUCCUAUUAUACUCGUGCCUAAAAAGGAUGGUACGUCGCGUAUGUGUGUUGAUUGUAGAGGCAUUAAUAAUAUUACUAUUCGUUAUCGUCAUCCUAUUCCUAGGCUCGAUGAUAUGCUUGAUGAAUUGAGUGGCUCUACAAUAUUCUCCAAAGUUGAUUUGCGUAGUGGAUACCAUCAAAUUCGUAUGAAAUUGGGAGAUGAAUGGAAAACUGCAUUUAAAACUAAGUUUGGUUUAUAUGAGUGGUUAGUCAUGCCUUUUGGGUUAACUAAUGCACCUAGUACUUUCAUGAGACUAAUGAACGAAGUUUUACGUGCUUUCAUUGGACGAUUUGUGGUGGUCUAUUUUGAUGAUAUACUGAUUUAUAGCAAAUCUUUGGAAGAACAUUUGGAACAUUUACGUGCUGUUUUUAUUGCUCUAUGUGAUGCACGUUUGUUUGGUAACCUUGGGAAGUGCACCUUUUGCACCGACCGAGUAUCUUUUCUUGGCUAUGUUGUUACUCCACAGGGAAUUGAAGUUGAUAAAGCCAAGAUUGAAGCUAUUGAGAGUUGGCCGCCGCCCAAAACGGUCACACAAGUGCGGAGUUUUCUUGGACUCGCUGGUUUCUAUAGGCGUUUUGUGAGAGAUUUUAGCACCAUUGCUGCACCUCUCAACGAGCUUACAAAGAAGGAUGUGCCUUUUGUCUGGGGUACCGCACAGGAAGAAGCCUUCACGGUAUUGAAAGAUAAGUUGACACAUGCUCCUUUACUCCAACUUCCUGAUUUUAAUAAGACUUUUGAGCUUGAAUGUGAUGCUAGUGGCAUUGGAUUAGGAGGUGUGUUAUUACAAGAUGGCAAACCUGUUGCAUACUUUUCUGAAAAAUUGAGUGGGCCUAGUCUGAAUUAUUCUACUUAUGAUAAAGAACUAUAUGCUCUUGUUCGGACUUUAGAAACAUGGCAACAUUAUUUAUGGCCCAAAGAAUUUGUUAUACAUUCUGAUCAUGAAUCUUUGAAACAUAUUAAAAGUCAAGCUAAACUGAAUCGUAGACAUGCUAAAUGGGUUGAAUUCAUUGAAACUUUCCCUUAUGUCAUUAAACACAAGAAGGGUAAAGAAAAAGUUAUUGCUGAUGCAUUGUCUCGUCGCUAUACUAUGCUUUCACAACUUGACUUCAAAAUAUUUGGUUUGGAGACCAUCAAAGAUCAAUAUGUGCAUGAUGCUGAUUUUAAAGAUGUAUUGCAGAAUUGUAAAGAAGGAAGAACCUGGAACAAGUUUGUCGUUAAUGAUGGAUUUGUGUUCCGUGCUAACAAGCUAUGCAUUCCAGCUAGCUCUCUUCGUCUUUUGUUGUUGCAGGAGGCGCAUGGAGGAGGAUUAAUGGGACACUUUGGCGUGAAGAAGACGGAGGACGUACUUGCUACACAUUUCUUUUGGCCAAAGAUGAGACGGGAUGUUGAGCGUUUUGUUGCUCGCUGCACUACAUGUCAAAAAGCUAAGUCACGACUCAAUCCUCAUGGUUUAUAUAUGCCUUUGCCUGUACCUAGUGUUCCUUGGGAGGAUAUAUCUAUGGACUUUGUUUUAGGUUUACCUCGAACAAAGAAGGGGAGGGAUAGCAUAUUUGUUGUCGUGGAUAGAUUCUCGAAAAUGGCGCAUUUUAUACCAUGUCAUAAAAGCGAUGAUGCUGUUAAUGUUGCUGAUUUGUUCUUUCGUGAAAUUAUUCGCUUGCAUGGUGUGCCAAAUACUAUUGUUUCAGAUCGUGAUACUAAAUUUCUUAGCCACUUUUGGAGAUGUUUAUGGGCUAAGUUGGGGACUAAACUGCUUUUUAGUACUACUUGUCACCCCCAAACUGAUGGACAAACUGAAGUAGUCAAUAGAACAUUGUCUACUAUGCUUAGGGCUGUUUUGAAGAAUAAUAAGAAAAUGUGGGAAGACUGCUUGCCUCAUAUUGAGUUUGCUUAUAAUCGUUCAUUGCAUUCUACUACUAAGAUGUGCCCUUUUGAAAUUGUGUAUGGUUUCCUACCUCGUGCACCUAUUGAUUUGUUGCCUCUUCCAUCUUCGGAGAAGGUUAAUUUUGAUGCUAAACAACGUGCUGAAUUGAUCUUAAAAAUGCAUGAGUUAACUAAGGAAAACAUUGAGCGUAUGAAUGCUAAAUAUAAACUUGCUGCAGAUAAGGGUAGAAAACAUGUUGUGUUUGCACCUGGAGAUCUUGUUUGGUUACAUUUGCGUAAGGAUAGAUUUCCUGAUUUGCGCAAAUCAAAGCUAAUGCCACGUGCUGAUGGUCCUUUUAAGGUGUUAGAGAAAAUAAAUGAUAAUGCAUAUAAACUUGAGCUGCCUGCAGAUUUUGGGGUUAGUCCCACUUUUAAUAUUGCAGAUUUGAAGCCUUAUUUGGGUGAGGAAGAUGAGCUUCCGUCGAGGACGACUUCAUUUCAAGAAGGGGAGGAUGAUGAGGACAUCAAUACAAUUAUUACACCCACAGUCCCUGCUGCUAUACAUACUGGACCAAUUACUAGAGCUCGCGCACGCCAAUUAAAUUACCAGGUACUUUCGUUUCUUGCUAAUGAUUCUAAUGUUCAUGAGAAUAUGAUGCUGCCUAAAUUGGAUACAUUUGUUUUGCUUACAAAUGAAGGGCCUAGCUUUGAGAAGGAUGGACAUUGGAGCAAGAACAAGCAUGGAGAUGAUGGCAUGCGCAUGGGGAACAAGAACGGAGUUACAAGUGAUGAUUUCAGGACGUUGAAGCCACCAUAAUGCGUGCAUGAAGCCUUGGACGAAAUAUACAAGAUGCUACUUCAUAACUUUCGUCCAGAGGCUAUUCUAGGUGCUGCGUCACCUUAUUAUUGGGCCAGGCCCAUGUAAUUUCGAAAUACAUAAGUAUAGGCUGUUUUUAGAGUCCGUAUGUGUGGGGAAACAAGAGAUAGGGUUGGUUUCGGACCCCUUCCUCAAGGGCCACGAAGUUCCCCCCCCCCCUCUUCCUCCAUAUAUACAGCCCUUAGGGCGUCGUUUAGACUUUGGGUUUUGUUUAGAUUAAAAGUUCGCCAUAGCUGCAACUUCGCGUACUUCGUUUGUGUUCAGCGACCAGACAAAGGCGUCACAGAACCCCACCUUGAUCAAUAAAGCUUUCAUCUUAUAUUCGCAAUAUCCAGAUUGCAAUCUCAGUUUCUUGCCUGUUCUUCGUUUGCUCGCAGGAAACAGACCCUCGUGGUCAGGUUGAUCGUGCUCCGGCGUGGUCGAUACCCUCUCGGAGUUGGUUUAGCGAUUGCUAAGGCGCGACGUCCUCGCACGUUCGUAGUCGGAUCGUCAAAGUCGACUUCCAUCAAAGCGAUAUUCAUCAUCUCAUCGAAAGACGGGACACCUUUGCCUCUAUCAAGUGGUAUCAGAUUUCCAGGUUGCUCGGUGAGAUUUUACAGUUUUUCGUAGUUUAGAUCGAGUCUGUUCUUCAUACCUACAGUCCACGAAAAAGCCACAAAAAAAAAUUAGGGUUAGUUCCUCAUAUCCGAACCAAUCUGAGCCUUUGCAUAAUCUUUUUAGGGUUUUUGCUUUGUUGAAUUUGCGGUUGCAUCGUCGUGUCAAGUUGCUGGUCUUAGAGUCUAGUCUUUUAGAGUUUCGAGUUCUGGUCAUAAGUUGUCACGCCGCCGCCGCACCAUCAUCAUCGCCUUGCCAUCUACCACCAUUGCUUAUCCGCCACCGCUUUGAAUCCGUAUCCAUAUACCACCACCGCUGCCAUAUACUACCGCCAUAUAUCCACCACCAAUCUGAUAGAGGCAAAGGUGUCCCGUCUUUCGAUGAGAUGAUGAAUAUCGCUUUGAUGGAAGUCGACUUUGACGAUCCGACUACGAACGUGCGAGGACGUCGCGCCUUAGCAAUCGCUAAACCAACUCCGAGAGGUUAUCGACCACGCCGGAGCACGAUCAACCUGACCACGAGGGUCUGUUUCCUGCGAGCAAACGAAGAACAGGCAAGAAACUGAGAUUGCAAUCUGGAUAUUGCGAAUAUAAGAUGAAAGCUUUAUUGAUCAAGGUGGGGUUCUGUGACGCCUUUGUCUGGUCGCUGAACACAAACGAAGUACGCGAAGUUGCAGCUAUGGCGAACUUUUAAUCUAAACAAAACCCAAAGUCUAAACGACGCCCUAAGGGCUGUAUAUAUGGAGGAAGAGGGGGGGGAACUUCGUGGCCCUUGAGGAAGGGGUCCGAAACCAACCCUAUCUCUUGUUUCCCCACACAUACGGACUCUAAAAACACCCUAUACUUAUGUAUUUCGAAAUUACAUGGGCCUGGCCCAAUAAUAAGGUGACGCAGCACCUAGAAUAGCCUCUGGACGAAAGUUAUGAAGUAGCAUCUUGUAUAUUUCGUCCAAGGCUUCAUGCACGCAUUAUGGUGGCUUCAACGUCCUGAAAUCAUCACUUGUAACUCCGUUCUUGUUCCCCAUGCGCAUGCCAUCAUCUCCAUGCUUGUUCUUGCUCCAAUGUUCAUCCUUCUCAAAGCUAGGCCCUUCAUUUGUAAGCAAAACAAAUGUAUCCAAUUUAGGCAGCAUCAUAUUCUCAUGAACAUUAGAAUCAUUAGCAAGAAACGAAAGUACCUGGUAAUUUAAUUGGCGUGCGCGAGCUCUAGUAAUUGGUCCAGUAUGUAUAGCAGCAGGGACUGUGGGUGUAAUAAUUGUAUUGAUGUCCUCAUCAAUUACUAUUCGUUAUCGUCAUCCUAUUCCUCGGCUAGAUGAUAUGCUUGAUGAAUUGAGUGGCUCUACAAUAUUCUUCAAAGUUGAUUUGCGUAGUGGAUACCAUCAAAUUCGUAUGAAAUUGGGAGAUGAAUGGAAAACUGCAUUUAAAACUAAGUUUGGUUUAUAUGAGUGGUUAGUCAUGCCUUUUGGGUUAACUAAUGCACCUAGUACUUUCAUGAGACUAAUGAACGAAGUUUUACGUGCUUUCAUUGGACGAUUUGUGGUAGUCUAUUUUGAUGAUAUACUGAUUUAUAGCAAAUCUUUGGAAGAACAUUUGGAACAUUUACGUGCUGUUUUUAUUGCUCUACGUGAUGCACGUUUGUUUGGUAACCUUGGGAAGUGCACCUUUUGCACUGACCGAGUAUCUUUUCUUGGCUAUGUUGUUACUCCACAGGGAAUGGAAGUUGAUAAAGCCAAGAUUGAAGCUAUUGAGAGUUGGCCGCAGCCCAAAACAGUCACACAAGUGCGGAGUUUUCUUGGACUCGCUGGUUUCUAUAGGCGUUUUGUGAGAGAUUUUAGCACCAUUGCUGCACCUCUCAACGAGCUUACAAAGAAGGAUGUGCCUUUUGUUUGGGGUACCGCACAGGAAGAAGCCUUCACGGUAUUGAAAGAUAAGUUGACACAUGCUCCUUUACUCCAACUUCCUGAUUUUAAUAAGACUUUUGAGCUUGAAUGUGAUGCUAGUGGAAUUGGAUUAGGAGGUGUGUUAUUACAAGAUGGCAAACCUAUUGCAUACUUUUCUGAAAAAUUGAGUGGGCCUAGUCUGAAUUAUUCUACUUAUGAUAAAGAACUAUAUGCUCUUGUUCGGACUUUAGAAACAUGGCAACAUUAUUUAUGGCCCAAAGAAUUUGUUAUACAUUUUUUCGAGACCUACUCAGGCAAGGAAACACGAAACGGAAAAUAUAUGGAUCUCUAAAACAAACCGACUAUGAAAAGAACUCGGAUUGGUGGUGGAUAUAUGGCGGUAGUAUAUGGCAGCGGUGGUGGUAUAUGGAUACGGAUUCAAAGCGGUGGCGGAUAAGCAAUGGUGGUAGAUGGCAAGGCGAUGAUGAUGGUGCGGCGGCGGCGUGACAACUUAUGACCAGAACUCGAAACUCUAAAAGACUAGACUCUAAGACCAGCAACUUGACACGACGAUGCAACCGCAAAUUCAACAAAGCAAAAACCCUAAAAAGAUUAUGCAAAGGCUCAGAUUGGUUCGGAUAUGAUGAACUAACCCUAAUUUUUUUUUGUGGCUUUUUCGUGGACUGUAGGUAUGAAGAACAGACUCGAUCUAAACUACGAAAAACUGUAAAAUCUCACCGAGCAACCUGGAAAUCUGAUACCACUUGAUAGAGGCAAAGGUGUCCCGUCUUUCGAUGAGAUGAUGAAUAUCGCUUUGAUGGAAGUCGACUUUGACGAUCCGACUACGAACGUGCGAGGACGUCGCGCCUUAGCAAUCGCUAAACCAACGCCGAGAGGUUAUCGACCACGCCGGAGCACGAUCAACCUGACCACGAGGGUCUGUUUCCUGCGAGCAAACGAAGAACAGGCAAGAAACUGAGAUUGCAAUCUGGAUAUUGCGAAUAUAAGAUGAAAGCUUUAUUGAUCAAGGUGGGGUUCUGUGACGCCUUUGUCUGGUCGCUGAACACAAACGAAGUACGCGAAGUUGCAGCUAUGGCGAACUUUUAAUCUAAACAAAACCCAAAGUCUAAACGACGCCCUAAGGGCUGUAUAUAUGGAGGAAGAGGGGGGGAAUUUCGUGGCCCUUGAGGAAGGGGUCCGAAACCAACCCUAUCUCUUGUUUCCCCACACAUACGGACUCUAAAAACAGCCUAUACUUAUGUAUUUCGAAAUUACAUGGGCCUGGCCCAAUAAUAAGGUGACUCAGCACCUAGAAUAGCCUCUGGACGAAAGUUAUGAAGUAGCAUCUUGUAUAUUUCGUCCAAGGCUUCAUGCACGCAUUAUGGUGGCUUCAACGUCCUGAAAUCAUCACUUGUAACUCCGUUCUUGUUCCCCAUGCGCAUGCCAUCAUCUCCAUGCUUGUUCUUGCUCCAAUGUUCAUCCUUCUCAAAGCUAGGCCCUUCAUUUGUAAGCAAAACAAAUGUAUCCAAUUUAGGCAGCAUCAUAUUCUCAUGAACAUUAGAAUCAUUAGCAAGAAACGAAAGUACCUGGUAAUUUAAUUGGCGUGCGCGAGCUCUAGUAAUUGGUCCAGUAUGUAUAGCAGCAGGGCCUGUGGGUGUAAUAAUUGUAUUGAUGUCCUCAUCACCUCCUGCAACAACAAAAGACGAAGAGAGCUACCUGGAAUGCAUGGCUUGUUAGCACGGAACACAAAUCCAUCAUUAACGACAAACUUGUUCCAGGUUCUUCCUUCUUUACAAUUCUGCAAAACAUCUUUAAAAUCAGCAUCAUGCACAUAUUGAUCUUUGAUGGUCUCCAAACCAAAUAUUUUGAAGUCAAGUUGUGAAAGCAUAGUAUAGCGACGAGACAAUGCAUCAGCAAUAACAUUUUCUUUACCCUUCUUGUGUUUAAUGACAUAAGGGAAAGUUUCAAUGAAUUCAACCCAUUUAGCAUGUCUACGAUUCAGUUUAGCUUGACUUUUAAUAUGUUUCAAAGAUUCAUGAUCAGAAUGUAUAACAAAUUCUUUGGGCCAUAAAUAAUGUUGCCAUGUUUCUAAAGUCCGAACAAGAGCAUAUAGUUCUUUAUCAUAAGUAGAAUAAUUCAGACUAGGCCCACUCACUUUUUCAGAAAAGGAUGCAACAGGUUUACCAUCUUGUAAUAACACACCUCCUAAUCCAAUUCCACUAGCAUCACAUUCAAGCUCAAAAGUCUUAUUAAAAUCAGGAAGUUGGAGUAAAGGAGCAUGUGUCAACUUAUCUUUCAAUACCGUGAAGGCUUCUUCCUGUGCGGUACCCCAAACAAAAGGCACAUCCUUCUUUGUAAGCUCGUUGAGAGGUGCAGCAAUGGUGCUAAAAUCUCUCACAAAACGCCUAUAGAAACCAGCGAGUCCAAGAAAACUCCGCACUUGUGUGACCGUUUUGGGCUGCGGCCAACUCUCAAUAGCUUCAAUCUUGGCUUUAUCAACUUCAAUUCCCUGUGGAGUAACAACAUAGCCAAGAAAAGAUACUCGGUCGGUGCAAAAGGUGCACUUCCCAAGGUUACCAAACAAAUGUGCAUCACGUAGAGCAAUAAAAACAGCACGUAAAUGUUCCAAAUGUUCUUCCAAAGAUUUGCUAUAAAUCAGUAUAUCAUCAAAAUAGACUACCACAAAUCGUCCAAUGAAAGCACGUAAAACUUCGUUCAUUAGUCUCAUGAAAGUACUAGGUGCAUUAGUUAACCCAAAAGGCAUGACUAACCACUCAUAUAAACCAAACUUAGUUUUAAAUGCAGUUUUCCAUUCAUCUCCCAAUUUCAUACGAAUUUGAUGGUAUCCACUACGCAAAUCAACUUUCGAGAAAAUUGUAGAGCCACUCAAUUCAUCAAGCAUAUCAUCUAGCCUAGGAAUAGGAUGACGAUAACGAAUAGUAAUAUUAUUAAUGCCUCUACAAUCAACACACAUACGCGACGUACCAUCCUUUUUAUGCACUAGUAUAAUAGGAACAGCGCAAGGACUAAGAGAUUCGCGAAUAUAACCUUUGUCGAGCAGCUCCUGUACUUGACUCAUAAUCUCCUUCGUCUCCUCUGGAUUGGUACGGUAUGGUGCACGGUUGGGUAGCGGUGCACCAGGAAUGAAAUCAAUUUGAUGCUCAAUCCCUCGAAUAGGUGGUAAUCCCGGUGGCACGUCUUGUGGGAAGACGUCAGCGAACUCCUGCAAAAUGUUAGUGAUAGCAGGGGGCAAAGAGUAAGGCACGUCCUCGAAUGAAAAUAAUGCCUCUUUGCACACAAAAGCAUAGCAAACAGAUUUGUUGAAAUCUAGCUCAUCAAUAUCAGAUUUUGUGGCAAGUAAACAUGCACUUUUCAAUUUAAUUUCAGAAACAACACUAGAUGGUUUAUUAUUAGGUUUCAUUUGUUGCUCAAAUUCUUUUGCCACAAUCUGAUUUUCACUCUUAUUUUUCUCCUGUUUUGCUUUAUUAGCUCUAUUAAUGUCAUCUUUCAAAAUGGAAUCAGGAGUCAUCGGAAGCAAAGUAAUAUUUUUAUCCUUAUGAACAAGAGUAUACUGAUUGUUCUACCAUGGUGUAUAGAAUUUUUAUCAAAUUGCCAUGGUCUACCAAGUAAUAAGAACAUGCUUGCAUGGGUACCACAUCACAAUCAACAUAAUCAGCAUAUGUAGAGAUACUAAAAUGCACACGAACAGUACGUGUUACCUUAACCUUGCCGCUGUUGUUGAACCAUUGGAUGUAGUAAGGAUGUGGAUGUGGUCUUGUGGUGAGAGAUAGUUUCUCCACCACCUCCAUGCUAGCCAAGUUGUUACAGCUCCCUCCAUCUAUGAUGACGCGAACAGAACGUUCCUUCACAACUCCCUUUGUAUGGAACAAAUUAUGCCUCUGAUCUUGCUCUGCUUGUGUGACCUGCACACUCAAAACACGUUGAGCAACUAAACAUUCAUAACUGUCAGCGUCUUCAGGAGCCAUGUAUUGCGUCUCAUUUUCAGAAUCAUCUCCACCAUGUUCUUCACGUGUAAUAAGAGCCAAAGUCUCCUCAUCAUAGUCACUAGCGGACUCAUACCCACCUUCCUCAGUAGCAAUCAUCACACGCUGAGAUUUGCAUUCUCUCGCAUAAUGUCCUCUUCCCUUACAACGAUGACAAAUAAUAUCACUUGUGUGCCCUGUUGACGCCAUGGAAGAAGAAGAGCUCUGCGCAGGCCCGGCAGGUGUGCUCUUGGCAGAGAGUGGUGGUUGUGCCUGCUUUCUUGUAUCACGGCUGGAGGUGGCACCUGAUGGAGGUGAUGGUGAAGUGGAAGUAGAGGAUGCACGUGGUGUCCAUGAUGAAGGUCAACCUGCAGAAAAGUUAGUUCGCGCCAAUGCCUGUCGAUCCUGCACUUCACGUUCAGCUUUACAAGCAAGAUGGAAUAAACGAUUGAUAUUAUUAUAAUCCUUAUACUCUAGAAUGGUCUGAAUCUCUUUAUUUAAUCCACCCAUAAAACGUGCAAGCAUAGCUUCAUUCUCCUCAACAAUACCACACCUAAUCAUGCCAGUUUGUAAUUCCUGAUAAUAUUCUUCUACAGAAUUUUUCCCUUGUCUUAAGCGCUGCAAUUUUUGAAGUAAUUCAUGUUGAUAAUAUGGUGGAACCCAACGAGUACGCAUAGCAGUUUUCAAAGCAGCCCAAGUAGCUGGAACAGGAUAUAAUCUACAAUGUUCAGACCACCAAACACACGCAAAGCUAGUGAAAGCACAAACAGCAGCAGGAACACGUCUCUCCUCAGGAUAUUGUAAACAUGUAAAUCGUUGUUCAGUUUCUAACUCCCAAGUAAGAUAUAUAUCAGGAACAUAUCUACCCUCAAAUGGUGGAAUAUUCAAUUUCAGUUUAGGGAGAUGGUCAUGAUCUCGUACCUGAGGUGGUGGUGCCGGCCUACCGUUGCGAAUAUAUACCUGAGGUCGACCUGCUGGUGGUGGUGCUGGUGGCUGCACGUAGUUCUGAUUUUGAUCAACCUCAUCCUCAUAAUCGCCCGCAUAAUCGUCAUCCUCCUCAGCCGCCGCAGUAGCAGGAGCCAAAGAAGCAUCAACAGUAGGUGCAGCAGCACCCAAAUUUUGACCAGUCUCAAUUGGAACGCGCUGUGCUCGUCCCACUUGAUUUGGAAGGCGGUGUUGGAGAUGUGGUUGUUGUUGUAGAGGUGCGACAGGUGCAGCCGGUGGUGGUUGGGGAAGACGCUUGAGCAAUUCAUUAAACCUGUUAUCCAGCUUUGUCUCAAAUGACUUCUCCACGGCAUCUAUCUUUCUCCAUAGCCUCUUCAAAUCUGUUUAGCACAUCUCCCACCUGGCCACUCAUCAUUUGCUGAAAUUUAUCAUGCAACCCCUUGUUCGUCAUGUUCUCCCAAUCAGUCUCAUCGGCUUGUGAUCCUGCCAUGGUUAGCAGCAAUAGAAACACAAAAGAAUAUGAUCCUACAGACUACUAGGAAGUGGUGGUGAUGGUGGUGUGUCACAAAUCCUUCAAUCAAAUCUCAAAUUCUUACCAGUUCUUACCCAGCAGCAGGUGGUGAUCGGCAACCGUUGUAGUCAAAACUCUCAAAGCUUGGAUAGAGCGAUUACCAGGGAGAGUCAAAUGCACGACGUAGAUGUAUGUGGAGCUGGGAAGACUUAUAAUAUGGUAGCAAAAAGGGUCAGCAAUAAUCAAUUCAGAUAUGCAAAGUUGAAUAAACGCUCAACGACGGUACUGUGCUGGUCCUAGGCUAGACCGUGCUAGAGACGCGAGCCUAGAACACUAACAAAAUCACGGCGCUGCACGUAAACAAGGGAGGAGCACACUCUGAAACUUUUUUUCACUUUUUUUCCACUUUUUUUUUGCUCCGCAACAAUUUUUUUCGAAAAAGUCUACAAAUGGUCUAAAAACUGCCUAGCCAGAAUUUUCUAGACUUAGUUUUUUUUGAAACUGGAACUAUUUUUCUACUGCGGGUAACACAAAAAUUUGUUCUGUCACUUGGGGUGAAUUUCGUGGCCCUUGGGGAAGGGGUCCGAAACCAACCCUAUCUCUUGUUUCCCCACACAUACGGACUCUAAAAACAGCCUAUACUCAAGUAUUUCGAAAUUACAUGGGCCUGGCCCAAUAAUAAGAUGACGCAGCACCUAGAAUAGCGUCUGGACGAAAGUUAUGAAGUAGCAUCCUGUAUAUUUCGUCCAAGGCUUCAUGUACGCAUUAUGGUGGCUUCAACGUCCUGAAAUCAUCACUUGUAACUCCGUUCUUGUUCCCCAUGCGCAUGCCAUCAUCUCCAUGCUUGUUCUUGCUCCAAUAUUCAUCCUUCUCAAAGCUAGGCCCUUCAUUUGUAAGCAAAAAAAAUGUAUCCAAUUUAGACAACAUCAUAUUCUCAUGAACAUUAGAAUCAUUACCAAGAAACGAAAGUACCCUGUAAUUUAAUUGGCGUGCGCGAGCUCUAGUAAUUGGUCCAGUAUGUAUAGCAGCAGGGGCUGUGGGUGUAACAAUGGUAUUGAUGUCCUCAUCAGGUUCACUCUCUCACUAUUCUCUCCACGAUGGGUGUUUUGCUUGUCGGCGAGCACUUGGCUUGGAGACAUAGGACGUAGCACAAACUCUUUCCCUUUCAUCUUGAAGCUAUAGUGAUUUGUACGCCCAUUGUGAAUGACACCUCGGUCAAAUUGCCAUGGCCGUCCAAGAAGGAGGUGGCACACGGUCAUCGGAAGGACAUCACACUCCAAAGUGUCUUCAUAGGCGCCGAUCUUGAAAGAGACUUGUACUCUCUGCUCGACUUGUAUGGUGCCGGUGUCGCUUAGCCAUUGAACCUUGUAGGGGUGCGGUUGCUUCAUCUUGACCAAUUGGAGUUUGGAGCAUAGUUAUCACUUGCCAAGUUAUGGCAACUCCCUCCAUCGAUGAUGACUUUGACGUACCGUCCAUUGAUGCCGGCCUUUGUGUGGAAUAUAUGGCAUCUUUGAUCUUCGUCUUGUUGAUGUUGAAGCGUCAAGACCUUGGAGACAAUAAGAGCAGGACUUGAGUCUUCGUCACAAAAGAUGUGAUCAUCCUUCGUUUGUGCCCAAGUGGUGAUGGGUGGUUCACCUCUUGCCGCAUGGCGCUCAAUGACUUGUUCCCACCAAAUGAGGACGUAGUCUUGGAAUUCGAGGGAUGCCAUUGCGAUCUUCUUCUCUUCUUCGUAGUUGUGCAAGCGGAAGAUUUUGUCAACCUUCAAUGCCCAUGAUAUGUACUCUUCGGAGCCAUUGCUUCCGGUAAACUUGGGCAUGGUGAACUUUAGCUUGCCAUAUCGUUGCUCUUCAUUGUGUUGGGGUCGGGGAUGAUGACGCCCAUGUCGGUGAGGAUUGGCAAUCUCAUGUCGCUCUUGGCGAGGAGGGUUGUCUUCCUCAUGUUGCUCUUGGUGAGGAGGGUUGUCUUCCUCAUGAUACUCUUGGCGAGGAGGUGGUCCAUUGUCUUCUUGCUCUCGAUGGACUUGACGUUCUUGUCUCGCAUGAGGAGGAGCUUGUCGAUCUUGACGAGGAGCUUGUCGAUGCACACGUGCUUCAUAAAUCCUUUCUUGAGCUUCGUCGCGAAGUGCUUCUUGAUGUAGUCGAGCUUGUCGGCCUCGAUUGGCUACGGCACGACUUGAGUCUUGAAGAGCACGUUGCGCAUCAAGUGCUUGAGCUUCACGUAGUUGUCGUUCUUGACGUUGCGCCUCGACAUCUUGUGCAUCUUGAUGUUGUCGCGCUCGCUCCUCUUGUUCUUGUUGUCGUUGGUGUUGUCGUUCUUGUGCUUGUGCGAAAGCAGCUUGGUUGUGACGAUGUCGAUGCUCUUGAGAGUCGGUGUCGUGUAUAGGAUUGCGGUUAGCUUGACGGUCUUGACGCGCGGCACGACGAAGAGUGUUUGAUGUUGGUGUACUUGAACCGGAGAUGGUGUCGUCGUAGUGUCGACUUGAGCGGCACCGUCUUGACGAGGACGAAGUUGUAGAAGAGCGGACCAUCAUGGUUCGGAUAUCUUCUUUGAGGGAACUCAUGGAUGUGUCGAAGUAGUCUCUUGUACGUUGCUCAGAUUGUCGUAGAUCGGUGGCGAGGUUGUCGAUGCGAUCGCCCGAAGCAAGUUGUUCUUGAUGCAAAGCUCGGUGUGCACCAAAUAGUUGAGUCUUGGUGACGUAGGAUGACAUGUCGUCGUCUUGCUCCAAGAAGAGUGGAUUGGUAGAAGUACUUGGCCUAUCCAUCAUUCCAACAAUGAUAUGUGAGUGGGAGAAAGAGAAGAACCAAUACCAAAUGUACCUUGACCGAUGUUGAAAAUGGAUCAAAGAUCACUCCAAUGUGUAUCAAGGGAAUAGCACAAUUGGUACCGUUUCUUGUCGGUUCUCACACCUACACAAGUAAAAGCUUGUGGUGGAGCUUGGUUAGGAUGGUGGCACAAAAUUUGAUGCAAUUGUAAGUGAGACUCAAUAAUGUUGGAAAAGAUUCACAAAUUUGCAAAUGCAACAAGUAGACCAAUAGCAAGAUAUGGUACACGGAAACACACACGCAAAAAGAUAAGUGGGGUUGGGCAACCAAGGGUGAGCCAAAAUGUGGAAUCCACCAAGAUGCUCUUGUUGCACAACACUAGAGAGACGCUAGCACGAUUGCACAAUAGGCGGAUACGAACUUGUGCACAACCUACUAAGCAAAAAUGCAACGACUUCUAUCCCAAGUAUGCUAUAUGUAUGAUGUUUCUAUGCUUUGAUCCAAGAUGAUCGAGUAUGACAAUCUUAAUGUUGUAUGAUGCUAUGGUUCUAGCUUAUAAGCUCUUUGCUUAUCGUUCCCUUUUGCUUAAAAGCUUGUUUGGCUCUUUGUUGUUUGAGCUCUUUUCUUAUGCAAUGCUUCACGAACCAAGAUAGCAAUUGUGUAUGCGAAGACAACUUUGUGACACAAGAGAUGAUACCAAGAUAUGCAACACGAUGAUGGUAUGUAUGCUAUGGGAAGUAUGAACACUAAUGUGCACAAGUCACGUUGCCGGCAGUACUCAAAGGCUAGUCUCGAUGGGUAAGCUACGCGAAAGUGAGGCUAUGGGGUUAUCAAUGCAAAUGCAAGAGAGUAUGAUGAUAUCGCUAUACCAAGAUGAUAUGAAGGUGAAGGUGAUACCAAUGUAGCCGUUCGUAGUAGUCCUUGGCGAAGAUGAGCGGUGGUGAUGUUGUUGCCGAACCGUACCUACAUAGCCGAAACACAAUAGGAUACGGAAACCACAACUCAAAUUCUCAAAACAAAAUGGGUCAAAAUUGUCGGAGUUGGUAACGGGAAAGGCUAUGGUGGUGCUAUGCGGAAAUGGUGGUGGUAUGAGGAAGUGUAUGUGGGCUCCGGAACAAAAUUGGACGAAAGUUAGGCGGUAAACGGAGUGGAGGAUGGAGUUGAUGCUGUCAGGGGCCGGACGUCCGGGCUGAUGACCGGAAGUCCGGGCCGGGCCGGAUGUCCGGGCUGGUCGGGCCGGAUGUCCGGGCUCGGGAUCCGUGGAUGAACACCGCGUGGAGAGGUCAAAUCCGGGGCGAAAUUCGGAAGAUUUUGUGGAUGGAAAUUGGGGAAAAGAUGGGGAAAGGCUAGAUCUACCUGCAACACACGAAAUUCGCGGAUCAAAUCCAACAAAACUUCAUCACACCAACAAAUCACAAAAAAAAAUUGGGGCAACUUUUGUGGGGCAAUUUUCGGGUUAGGAUGAAAAACAACAAAAUCAAGCUAGAAAACAAAGAGAGGGGGCUCCGAAAUCGUGAUCAACGUGGCUCUGAUACCAAGAUGAUGUAGGGUGGAACCCUAUAUAGCCGAUCUUUCACGAAAGGAGUGGAUCCCAACUAAGAAGACGAAGAACACGAGGGGAAACACGAGGGGAAGACACGAGAGAAUCACUCAAACCAACAAGAACAAUCACACAUGUGCUAGAUCCUCGAAACACAAAGAGAUACACGGUCCAAAUCCAACAAGGGACGAUACAUAGGUAACCGGUUCUUCUCCGAAAGGAGGUCUUGAGGGGGCCACCCAAGAGGGGGUCUUGAAUCCAACGUGGAUCGUCUCCGAAGAGGGGCCGCAGUCUCUCUCGAGGAGGAGAUUCGUAUGGAUGAGCAAUGCUUUAUCUCACAUAUGAGCUAAACCAAUGCUAACCCUAGAAAGAUGGAGGAGAAGGAGUAUAUAUAGUCUAGGGGAUCGAAGGGGUACACGGGCCUCGGCCCUUACUGUGCGCAGACAGGGGUGGCCGGAUGUCCGGGCGACGGGCCGGAUGUCCGGGGCUUCAGGAGGGGCCGGAUGUCCGGGCUGGGGGCCGGAUGUCCGGGCUGGAGGGCAAAACUUCUGGAUGUUCUGUUGCGUGGCGCCGGAUGUCCGGGCUUUUGGCCGGAUUUCCGGGCUGGGGCCGGAUGUCCGGGCUGGACGCCGGAUGUCCGGGCUGGACGCCGGAUGUCCGGGCCCUGUAGGCUUGGGCGUCUGGGCUGCUGCUGCUGUGGUUGCUCCAGGGGCCGGAUGUCCGGGGACUUGGCCGGAUGUCCGGGGCCUGGAAGGUGAACUUGCCUGUUUCCGUUGGUUCUCUUCAUCCGUGAACUUGGCGGCUUGUCCGUCUUCACGUGCAUCCUCGGGAGGCUCCUCUUGACACCUAAUCAUGCAUAGCAUAUCGGACUUAGGUAGUAGCCAUGUCUCGAGUGGAUCAUAUGUGAUAUCACUAAGGAAGGAAGUCACCUCGUUCUCGAGAGCUCUAGCUCGUGCUCGUGUCAUAGGUCCUCUUGGCUCUUGAUGAGACGAUGGUAGGUCCAUGGGGAUGACCGUAGGAUGCUCCGCAUCAGAGAAGCCACAGGUCAGGUAGCCAAGUGGGCCAUUGAGCUUGGGCCCCAUGGUUUGAAGUAUAUGCCUCAGACAACUAUCAAGUCUCAAGCACUUGUGGAUUUUAUUAAUGACUGGACCGAGCUGCAGAUGCCUGAGGAGAAGCCGGAUAGCACAUAUUGGACUAUUCACUUUGAUGGAUCCAGGCAGUUGGAAGGCUCGGGGGCUCGAGUUAUUUUGACUUCCCCACGAGGUGAUAAAUUUUGUUAUGUUUUAAGGUUGAUGUUCCCUAGUACUAACAAUGCAGCUGAGUAUGAGGCCUUGCUCCAUGGUCUUCGGAUGGCUAAAGAGAUGAAUCUAAGUCGGGUGAGGUGUUUUGGCGACUCUGCAAGUUUCAGGCACCUGGGAUUCUAAGGAUCCGCUCAUGGCGGCUUACCGCCGAGAGGUUGCUGUUAUUGCUGGUCAUUUCAAAGGUUAUCAAGUGGAACAUGUUCAUAGGAAAAAUGAGGCGGCUGAUUCUUUAAGCCGGCUAGGGUCCCAGCGUAAGCCGGUACCACCUAAUGUUUUCCUUGAUAUUCUGCAUAACCCUUCAGUCAAAUUGCCUACGGAGGAAGAUCUUACUGUUCCUGGCCCGGAGGCGCAGUUGGUGGCGGCUCUUCAUGUUAUUCCUGAUUGGACAAUUUCAUAUUUGGCUUAUAUGACCCGGGGUGAGUUACCUGAAGAUGAAACUUUGGCCAGGCAGAUAACCCGGCGAUCUAAGUCAAUGAUUAUUGUCAAUGGAGAGUUGCACCGCUGCAGUGUCACCGGGGUGUUUCAACGUUGUGUUUCUCCUGAGGAAGGCCGUGAGAUUCUAUGAGAGAUUCAUGAAGGAGAUUGUGGUCAUCAUGCCGACUCUAAGUCUCUCGUAGCUAAGGCUUUUCGUCAUGGGUUUUAUUAGCUGACGGCUCAUGCUGAUGCAGAGGAUUUGGUCAGUAAAUGUGAUGGUUGUCAGAAAUUUUCAAGACGGGCUCAUGUGCCGGCUCAAGAAUUGAGGAUGAUUUCAAUUACUUGGCCAUUUGCAGUCUGGGGGGUGGAUAUGGUUGGACCUUUUAAAACAUCCAAGGAUAAAAAGACCCACCUUUUGGUGGCAGAUGACAAGUUUACAAAGUGGAUCGAGGCAGAGCCGGUCAGUAAGUGUGAUGCGGCGACGACGGUUCAAUUAAUCAAAAAGGUGAUUUUCUGUUUUGGCUACCCUCACGGCAUUAUAACUCAUAAUGGCACUAAUCUGUCUAAAGGUGCUAUGAAAGAAUUCUGUCAACAAGAGCAUAUUCGUCUUGAUGUAUCAUCAGUGGCUCACCCCCAGUCCAAUGGCCAAGAUGAAAGAGCCAAUCAAGAAAUCUUGAGAGGCAUAAAACUCCGACUUAUGGUCCUUUUGCAGAGGACGCCGGGUUGUUGGGUGGAGGAAUUGCCCUCAGUGCUAUGGAGUAUCAAUACUACCCCCAAUAGAUCUACGGGUUACACGCCUUUCUUCAUGGUUUACGGACCAGAGGCAGUUCUCCGUACUGACAUCCGUCACGAUUCGCCCCGUGUGGCGGCUUAUGGUGAAGCUGAUAAUUAAAAAGCACGUUAGGAUGCUCUUGACUUAUUGGAUGAGGAGCGUGACCUUGCGGCGGUUCGUUUGGCGAUUUACCAGCAAGAUCUGCAUCAUUAUCAUAGCCGCCAGGUUAAAACCAGGACCUUUCAAGAAGGAGAUUUGGUGCUCCGGCUCAUCCAGGAUCAAGCUGACAUGCACAAGCUAUACCUACCUCGGGAAGGGCCCUUUGUGGUCAGCAAAAAUCUGAACAACGGGUCAUAUUACCUUAUCGAUGUUCGAGACCACAAGGACUCACACACGUUGGAGGAGGAGACCCGACGACCAUGGAAUAUUGCUCAUCUUCGGCCUUAUUACACCUGAGCCAAUUGCUCUUGUGAUGUACAUACUUCUACCAAUGUAUAUAUUAUGAUUAGUAUAAUAAAGCCGGCAUCCCUGAUAAUUCAGUGCCUCUGUCGUUUCAUUUAUGAGCAUAUGAGUCUUUAUUAUCACUUCAUAAGAUCACUUGGGGGCUUCCUGCUCAUUGAGCAUAGCUGUAACUAUCCUAUUGAUCCGGCUUGAACGCCGUUGAUACAACCAACUUGGAGGCUUGAUGCCCGGGUCAAAGGGACCAAAGAGAGUCUGUUGCAGAGCACAACCCAAACAUAGGUGCCCUGCCUAGAUGGUUCAAUAUAUAUCACUUGGGGGCUCCUUGUUCAUUGAACAUAACUUCGAUAACCCUUUUGAUUGGCUUGAAAUGCUAGGUGUAUACACCAAAAAAUUUCAGUUGAUCUUGCUUUGUACGUCUGCCUCUCCGCCCAGGUAAUCCUGGAAUGACCCGCUGAACUAUUGACAGUCAAUCUUAUUAAGACCCUGAACUUGUCAAGGUUAAAACGACGGUUGGUCAUGUGAGGUCCGGCUUACAAGGUUUGAAUGAAGGAUUAACUUAGUGACUGUGCAAUCCCAUGAAAAGCACUUGAUGGUUGAGGCCUGGCCGCCUAUGAAAGCCUUGAUUUUUCUUAUUCAUUUUUUACCUUUGUUUAUCGAUAUAUUGUUUAAUAAAUUGGUUCAGACAAUGUUGCUUUGAUCCUUAUGAUUCAUAUUUGAAUAUAUCCGGAGUUUUGAUAACCCGGCCUGGUUUUGGACGAUUAAGUCGCUAAUGUGUCAUGAUCAUGAAUAUAUCCAAUGUUUAUCGAUAUAUUGUUCAAUAAAUUGGUUCUGCACUCUAAGUUUUGGGAUGAUACCCUUUGCUGCGUAUGUAGCCCGAAGUAUGAAUUUGUGGAUAGGGCGCUAUGCUCUACAUCUUUGGGCUGUUACCCUUACUGCAUGUGGCAUGAUAAGCCGGCGGGAUGAACAAAUAUUACAUAUAUGUUAUUUACUUGUUAUGAAUAAACGGGGUUUUGAUAAACCUGCCCUGGUUAUGGACGAUCUAGUCACCAGUGGAUUUUCUAUGGGGCAUUAUGACCCGCCCUGGGGUAAACCGCCAGGGAAUUUGUUAUCUGUUUGGAUGCAGGGCUAAUGACAACAUGAUCAGCAUUGUUGACACAAGUUAUGAGCAUAAGUAAUGGAGUUUCAACUCAACUCAGGUGGCUUAACAAGUGUUAUGCAAAUAAACACACGCGAUGGCGUGAAAGAUCAUGGUUUUUCAGCUAAGCCUAUUACAAGGCAUCAUAUGGCCACAAAAUAAUCAGUGUUUUGAAACGCACAAAAUCCAAAUGCGGAAGGUGAUAAACCGGUUCAUGGAUCACGCCUCCUGGUCUUGGCGGGUUGAGGCUUCUGUGUCAUCUUGUUCCGGUUCUUCUUCUCCUUGGUUAUCCAUUGGAUGGAAGUCAGGUGUAGCCCAGUUGAUACCGGUCAAAGCUCUAAACACAACCUCGUCAUCUAUAAGACUAGAUGGAUCAAUGUCAGGAGCGAAGAUGUGCUUACGAGUCGGCGGGAUGAGAUCCACCUCCUGAUAGAGGCAAAGGUGUCCCGUCUUUCGAUGAGAUGGUGGCUAUCGUUUUGGAGGAAGUCGACUUUGACGAACCGACUAUGAACGUGCGAGGACGUCGCGCCUUAGCAAUCGCUAAACCAACUCCGAGAGGUUAUUGACCACACCGGAGCACGAUCAACCUGACCACGAAGGUCCGUUUCCUGCAGGCAAACGAAGAACAAGCAAGAAACUAAGAUUGCAAUCUCGAUAUUGCGAAUAUAAGAGGAAAGCUUUAUUGAUCAAGGUGGCGUUCUGUGACGCCUUUGUCUGGUCGUUGAACACAAACGAAGUACGCGAAGUUGCAGCUAUGAUGAACUUUUAAUCUAAACAAAGCCCAAAGUCUAAACGGUGCCCUAAGGGCUGUAUAUAUGGAGGAAGAGGGGGGAAUUUCGUGGCCCUCGGGGAAGGGGUCCGAAACCAACCCUAUCUCUUGUUUCCCCACACAUACGGACUCUAAAAACAGCCUAUACUUAUGUAUUUCGAAAGUACAUGGGACUGGCCCAAUAAUAAGGUGACACAACACCUAGAAUAGCCUCUGGACGAAAUUUAUGAAGUGGCAUCUUGUAUAUUUCGUCCAAGGCUUCAUUCACUCCUUAUGGUGGCUUCGAAGUCCUGAAAUCAUCACUUGUAACUCUGUUCUUGUCUCCCUUGCGCAUGCCAUCAACUCCAUGCUUGUUCUUGCUCCAAUGUUCAUCCUUCUCCAAGCUAGGCCCUUCAUUUGUAAGCAAAACAAAUGUAUCCAAUUUAGGCAGCAUCAUAUUCUCAUGAACAUUAGAAUCAUUACCGAGAAACGAAAGUACCUGGUAAUUUAAUUGGCGUGCGCGAGCUCUAGUAAUCGGUCCAGUAUGUAUAGUAGCAGGGGUUGUGGGUGUAACAAUGGUAUUGAUGUCCUCAUCAUCCUCCCCUUCUUGAAAUGAGGUCGUCCUCGACGGAAGCUCAUCUUCCUCACCCAAAUAAGGCUUCAAAUCUGCAAUGUUAAAAGUGGGACUAACCCCAAAAUCUGCAGGCAGCUCAAGUUUAUAUGCAUUAUCAUUUAUUUUCUCUAACACCUUAAAAGGACCAUCAACACGUGGCAUUAGCUUUGAUUUGCGCAAAUUAGGAAACCUAUCCUUACGCAAAUGCAACCAAACAAGAUCUCCAGGUGCAAAGACAACAUGUUUUCUAACCUUAGCUCCAGCAAGUUUAUAUUUAGCAUUCAUACGCUCAAUGUUUUCCUUAGUUAACUCAUGCAUUUUUAAGAUCAAUUCAGCAUGUUGUUUAGCAUCAAAAUUAACCUUCUCCGAAGAUGGAAGAGGCAACAAAUCAAUAGGUGCACGAGGUAGGAAACCAUACACAAUUUCAAAAGGGCACAUCUUAGUAGUAGAAUGCAAUGAACGAUUAUAAGCAAACUCAAUAUGAGGCAAGCAUUCUUCCCACAUUUUCUUAUUAUUCUUCAAAACAGCCCUAAGCAUAGUAGACAAUGUUCUAUUGACUACUUCAGUUUGACCAUCAGUUUGGGGGUGACAACUAGUACUAAAAAGCAGUUUAGUCCCCAACUUAGCCCAGAGACAUCUCCAAAAGUGACUAAGAAAUUUAGUAUCAUGAUCUGAAACAAUAGUAUUUGGCACACCAUGCAAGCGAAUAAUUUCACGAAAGAACGAAUCAGCGACAUUAACAGCAUCAUCGCUUUUAUGACAUGGUAUAAAGUGUGCCAUUUUCGAGAACCUAUCCACGACAACAAAUAUGCUAUCCCUCCCCUUCUUUGUUCGAGGUAAACCUAAAACAAAGUCCAUAGAUAUAUCCUCCCAAGGAACGCUAGGUACAGGCAAAGGCAUAUAUAAACCAUGAGGAUUGAGUCGUGACUUAGCUUUUUGACAUGUAGUGCAGCGAGCAACAAAACGCUCAACAUCCCGUCUCAUCUUUGGCCAAAAGAAAUGUGUAGCAAGUAUAUCCUCCGUCUUCUUCACACCAAAGUGUCCCAUUAGUCCUCCUCCAUGCGCCUCCUGCAACAACAAAAGACGAACGGAGCUAGCUGGAAUGCAUAGCUUGUUAGCAUGAAACACAAAUCCAUCAUUAACGACGAACUUGUUCCAUGUUCUACCUUCUUUACAAUUCUGCAAUACAUCUUUCAAUUCAGCAUCAUGCACAUAUUGAUCUUUGAUGGUCUCCAAACCAAAUAUUUUAAAGUCAAGUUGUGAAAGCAUAGUAUAACGACGAGACAAUGCAUCAGCAAACAUUUUCUUUACCCUUCUUCUGUUUAAUGACAUAAGGGAAAGUCUCAAUGAAUUCAACCCAUUUAGCAUGUCUACGGUUCAGUUUUGCUUGACUUUUAAUGUGUUUCAAAGAUUCGUGAUCAGAAUGUAUAACAAAUUCUUUGGGCCAUAAAUAAUGUUGCCAUGUUUCUAAAGUCCGAACAUGAGCAUAUAAUUUUUUAUCAUAAGUAGAAUAGUUCAGACUAGGCCCACUCAAUUUUUCAAAAAAGUAUGCAACAUGUUUGCCAUCUUGUAAUAACACACCUCCUAAUCCAAUUCCACUAGCAUCACAUUCAAGCUCAAAAGUCUUAUUAAAAUCAGGAAGUUGGAGUAAAGGAGCAUGUGUCAACUUAUCUUUCAAUACCGUGAAGGCUUCUUCCUGUGCGGUACCCCAAACAAAAGGCACAUCCUUCUUUGUAAGCUCGUUGAGAGGUGCUGCAAUGGUGCUAAAAUCUCUCACAAAACGCCUAUAGAAACCAGCGAGUCCAAGAAAACUCCGCACUUGUGUGACCGUUUCGGGCUGCAGCCAACUCUCAAUAGCUUCAAUCUUGGCUUUAUCAACUUCAAUUCCCUGUGGAGUAACAACAUAGCCAAGAAAAGAUACUCGGUCGGUGCGAAAGGUGCACUUCCCAAGGUUACCAAACAAACGUGCAUCACGUAGAGCAAUAAAAACAGCACGUAAAUGUUCCAAAUGUUCUUCCAAAGAUUUGCUAUAAACAGUAUAUCAUCAAAAUAGACUACCACAAAUCGUCCAAUGAAAGCACGUAAAACUUCGUUCAUUAGUCUCAUGAAAGUACUAGGUGCAUUAGUUAACCCAAAAGGCAUGACUAACCACUUAUAUAAACCAAACUUAGUUUUAAAUGCUGUUUUCCAUUCAUCUCUCAAUUUCAUACGAAUUUGAUGGUAUCCACUACGCAAAUCAACUUUGGAGAAUAUUGUAGAGCGACUCAAUUCAUCAAGCAUAUCAUCUAGCCUAGGAAUAGGAUGACGAUAACGAAUAGUAAUAUUAUUAAUGCCUCUACAAUCAACACACAUACGCGACGUACCAUCCUUUUUAGGCACUAGUAUAAUAGGAACAACACAAGGACUAAGAGAUUCGCGUAUAUAACCUUUGUCGAGCAGCUCCUGUACUUGACGCAUAAUCUCCUUCGUCUCCUCUGGAUUGGUACGGUAUGGUGCACGAUUGGGUAGUGAUGCACCGGGAAUUAAAUCAAUUUGAUGCUCAAUCCCUCGAAUAGGUGGUAAUCCCGGUGGCACGUCUUGUGGGAAGACGUCAGCGAACUCCUGCAAAAUGUUAGUGACAGCAGGGGCAAAGAGGAAUGCACGUCCUCGAAUGAAAAUAAUGCCUCUUUGCACACAAAAGCAUAGCAAACAGAGUUUCUUAAAACUAGCUCAUCAAUAUCAGAUUUGGUGGCAAGUAAACAUGCACUUUUCGAUUUAAUUUCAGAAGCAACACUAGAUGGUUUAUUAUUAGGCUUCAUUUGUUGCUCGAAUUCUUUUGCCACAAUCUGAUUUUCACUCUUAUUUUUCUCCUGUUUUGCUUUAUUAGCUCUAUGAAUAUCAUCUCUCAAAAUGGAAUCAGGGGUCAUAGGAAGCAAAGUAAUAUUUGUAUCCUUAUGAACAAGAGUAUACUGAUUGUUUCUACCAUGGUGUACAGAAUUUUUAUCAAAUUUCCAUGGUCUACCAAGUAAUAAGGAACAUGCUUGCAUAGGUACCACAUCACAAUCAACAUAAUCAGCAUAUGUAGAGAUACUAAAAUGCACCCGAACAGUACGUGUUACCUUAACCUUGCCGCUGUUGUUGAACCAUUGGAUGUAGUAAGGAUGUGGAUGUGGUCUUGUGGUGAGAGAUAGCUUCUCCACCAUCUCCAUGCUAGCCAAGUUGUUGCAGCUCCCUCCAUCUAUGAUGACGCGAAUAGAACGUUCCUUCACAACUCCCUUUGUACGGAACAAAUUAUGCCUCUAAUUUUGCUCAGCUUGUGUAACCUGCACACUUAAAACACGUUGAGCAACUAAACAUUCAUACCUGUCAGCAUCUUCAGCAGCCAUGUAUUGCGUCUCAUGAUCAGAAUCAUCUCCACCGUGUUCUUCAUGUGUAAUAAGAGCCAAAGUCUCCUCAUCAUAGUCACUAGCGGACUCAUACCCACCAUCCUCAGUAGCAAUCAUCACACGCUCAGAUUUGCAUUCUCUCGCAAAAUGUCCUCUUCCCUUACAACGACGACAAAUAAUAUCACUUGUGUGCCCUGUUGACGCCAUGGAAGAAGAAGAGCUUUGUGCAGGCCCGACAGGUGUGCUCUUGGCAGAUAGUGGUGGUUGUGCCUGCUUUCUUGUAUCACAGUUGGAGGUGGCACCUGAAGGAGGUGGUGGUGCAGUGGAAGUAGAUGAUGCACGUGGUGUCCAUGAUGAAGGUCGAUCAGACCCCCGGGCAGUUUUUAGGCCAAAAUUUCGGCAACCAAAAAUAUUUUUUCCCUAUCCUAUUUUUAGGCCCCGGGUAGUGUUUUGAGACACUCGCCAUCAUAGUGAUUUUUUGUCGCACUUUUUCGUCGUCGCUGCCCUGAUUUCCGAAAAAAAAUAGUCAAAAAAUUUUGUGCCCAUCCUGUCAGUUUGACCUGGGAAGAGUUUUGAGACACUCGCCAUUAUAGUGAUUUUUCGCAAAAAAAAAGAGGAGCGCAAAAAAAAAGAGCGCAAAAAAAAAGAGCGAAAAAAAUAAUUCCAGAGUGUGCUUUUCCCUUGUUUACGUGCAGCGCCGUGAUUUUGUUAGUGUUCUAGGCUCGCGUCUCUAGCACGGUCUAGCCUAGGACCAGCACAGUACUGUCGUUGAGCGUUUAUUCAACUUUGCAUCUCUGAAUUGAUUAUUGCUUACCAUUUUGCUACCAUAUUAUAAGCCUUCCCAGCUCCACAUAAGUCUACAUCGUGCGUUUGACUCUUCCUGGUAAUCGCUAUAUCCAAGCUUUGAGAGUUUUUGACUACAACGGUUGCCGAUCACCACCUGCUGCUGGGUAAGAACUGGUAAGAAUUUGAGAUUCGCUUGAAGGUUUUGUGACACACCACCAUCACCACCACUUCUAGUAGUCUGCAGGAUCAUAUUCUUUUGUGUUUCUUUUGCUGCUAACCAUGGCAGGUUCACAAGCCGAUGAGACUGAUUGGGAGAACAUGACGAACAAGGAGUUGCAUGAUAAAUUUCAGCAAAUGAUGAGUGGCCAGGUGGGAGAUGUGCUAAACAGAUUUGAAGAGGCUAUGGAGAAGAUAGAUGCCGUGGAGAAGUCGUUUGAGACAAAGCUGGAUAACAAGUUUACUGAAUUACUCAAGCGUCUUCCCCAACCACCACCGGCUGCACAUGUCGCACCUCUACAACAACAACAACCACAUCUCCAACGCCGCCUUCCAAAUCAAGUGGGACGGGCACAGCGCGUUCCAAUUGAGAUUGGUCAAAAUUCGGGUGCUGCUGCACCUACUGUUGAUGCUUCUUUGGCUCCUGCUCAUGCGGCGGCUGAGGAGGAUGAUGAUUAUGCGGGCGAUUAUGAGGAUGAGGUUGAUCAAAAUCAGAACUACGUGCAGCCACCAGCACCACCACCAGCAGGUCGACCUCAGGUAUAUAUUCGCAACGGUAGGCCGGCACCACCACCUCAGGUACGAGAUCAUGACCAUCUCCCUAAACUGAAAUUGAAUAUUCCACCAUUUGAGGGUAGAUAUGUUCCUGAUAUAUAUCUUACUUGGGAGUUAGAAACUGAACAACGAUUUACAUGUUUACAAUAUCCUGAGGAGAGACGUGUUCCUGCUGCUGUUUGUGCUUUCACUAGCUUUGCAUGUGUUUGGUGGUCUGAACAUUGUAGAUUAUAUCCUGUUCCAACUACUUGGGCUGCUUUGAAAACUGCUAUGCGUACUCGUUGGGUUCCACCAUAUUAUCAACGUGAAUUACUUCAAAAAUUGCAGCGUUUAAGACAAGGGAAAAAUUCUGUAGAAGAAUAUUAUCAGGAAUUACAAACUGGCAUGAUUAGAUGUGGUAUUGUUGAGGAGAAUGAAACUAUGCUUGCACGUUUUAUGGGUGGAUUAAAUAAAGAGAUUCAGACCAUUCUAGAGUAUAAGGAUUAUAAUAAUAUCACUCGUUUAUUCCAUCUUGCUUGUAAAGCUGAACGUGAAGUGCAGGAUCGACAGCCAUUGGCGCGAACUAACUUUUCUGCAGGUCGACCUUCAUCAUGGACACCGCGUGCAUCUUCUACUUCCACUUCACCAUCACCUCCAUCAGGUGCCACCUCCAGCCGUGAUACAAGAAAGCAGGCACAACCACCACUCUCUGCCAAGAGCACGCCUGCCGGGCCUGCGCAGAGCUCUUCUUCUUCCAUGGCAUCGACAGGGCACACAAGUGAUAUUAUUUGUCGUCGUUGUAAGGGAAGAGGACAUUUUGCGAGAGAAUGCAAAUCUCAGCGUGUCAUGAUUGCUACUGAGGAUGGUGGGUAUGAGUCCGCUAGUGACUAUGAUGAGGAGACUUUGGCUCUUAUUACACGUGAAGAACAUGGUGGAGAUGAUUCUGAAAACGAGACGCAAUACAUGGCUCCUGAAGACGCUGACAGGUAUGAAUGUUUAGUUGCUCAACGUGUUUUGAGUGUGCAGGUCACACAAGCAGAGCAAAAUCAGAGGCAUAAUUUGUUCCAUACAAAGGGAGUUGUGAAGGAACGUUCUGUUCGCGUCAUCAUCGAUGGAGGGAGCUGUAACAACUUGGCUAGCAUGGAGAUGGUGGAGAAGCUAUCUCUCACCACAAGACCACAUCCACAUCCUUACUACAUCCAAUGGUUCAACAACAGCGGCAAGGUUAAGGUAACACGUACCGUUCGUGUGCAUUUUAGUAUCUCUACAUAUGCUGAUUAUGUUGAUUGUGAUGUGGUACCCAUGCAAGCAUGUUCCUUAUUACUAGGUAGACCAUGGCAAUUUGAUAAAAAUUCUGUACACCAUGGUAGAAACAAUCAGUAUACUCUUGUUCAUAAGGAUAAAAAUAUUACUUUGCUUCCUAUGACUCCUGAUUCCAUUUUGAAAGAUGACAUUAAUAGAGCUAAUAAAUCAAAACAGGAGAAAAAUAAGAGUGAAAAUCAGAUUGUGGCAAAGGAAUUUGAGCAACAAAUGAAACCUAAUAAUAAACCAUCUAGUGUUGUUUCUGAAAUUAAAUUGAAAAGUGCAUGUUUACUUGCCACAAAAUCUGAUAUUGAUGAACUAGAUUUCAGCAAAUCUGUUUGCUAUGCUUUUGUGUGCAAAGAGGCAUUAUUUUCAUUCGAGGACGUGCCUUCCUCUUUGCCCCCUGCUGUCACUCACAUUUUGCAGGAGUUUGCUGACGUCUUCCCACAAGACGUGCCACCGGGAUUACCACCUAUUCGAGGGAUUGAGCAUCAAAUUGACUUAAUUCCCGGUGCAUCGCUACCCAACCGUGCACCAUACCGUACCAAUCCAGAGGAGACGAAGGAGAUUAUGCGUCAAGUACAGGAGCUGCUCGACAAAGGUUAUAUACGCGAAUCUCUUAGUCCUUGUGCUGUUCCUAUUAUACUAGUGCCUAAAAAGGAUGGUACGUCGCGUAUGUGUGUUGAUUGUAGAGGAAUUAAUAAUAUUACUAUUCGUUAUCGUCAUCCUAUUCCUAGGCUAGAUGAUAUGCUUGAUGAAUUGAGUGGCUCUACAAUAUUCUCCAAAGUUGAUUUGCAUAGUGGAUACCAUCAAAUUCGUAUGAAAUUGGGAGAUGAAUGGAAAACUGCAUUUAAAACUAAGUUUGGUUUAUAUGAGUGGUUAGUCAUGCCUUUUGGGUUAACUAAUGCACCUAGUACUUUCAUGAGACUAAUGAACGAAGUUUUACGUGCUUUCAUUGGACGAUUUGUGGUAGUCUAUUUUGAUGAUAUACUGAUUUAUAGCAAAUCUUUGGAAGAACAUUUGGAACAUUUACGUGCUGUUUUUAUUGCUCUACGUGAUGCACGUUUGUUUGGUAACCUUGGGAAGUGCACCUUUUGCACCGACCGAGUAUCUUUCUUGGCUAUGUUGUUACUCCACAGGGAAUUGAAGUUGAUAAAGCCAAGAUUGAAGCUAUUGAGAGUUGGCCGCAGCCCAAAACGGUCACACAAGUGCGGAGUUUUCUUGGACUCGCUGGUUUCUAUAGGCGUUUUGUGAGAGAUUUUAGCACCAUUGCUGCACCUCUCAACGAGCUUACAAAGAAGGAUGUGCCUUUUGUUUGGGGUACCGCACAGGAAGAAGCCUUCACGGUAUUGAAAGAUAAGUUGACACAUGCUCCUUUACUCCAACUUCCUGAUUUUAAUAAGACUUUUGAGCUUGAAUGUGAUGCUAGUGGAAUUGGAUUAGGAGGUGUGUUAUUACAAGAUGGUAAACCUGUUGCAUACUUUUCUGAAAAAUUGAGUGGGCCUAGUCUGAAUUAUUCUACUUAUGAUAAAGAACUAUAUGCUCUUGUUCGGACUUUAGAAACAUGGCAACAUUAUUUAUGGCCCAAAGAAUUUGUUAUACAUUCUGAUCAUGAAUCUUUGAAACAUAUUAAAAGUCAAGCUAAACUGAAUCGUAGGCAUGCUAAAUGGGUUGAAUUCAUUGAAACUUUCCCUUAUGUCAUUAAACAGAAGAAGGGUAAAGAAAAUGUUAUUGCUGAUGCAUUGUCUCGUCGCUAUACUAUGCUUUCACAGCUUGACUUCAAAAUAUUUGGUUUGGAGACCAUCAAAGAUCAAUAUGUGGAUGAUGCUGAUUUUAAAGAUGUUUUGCAGAAUUGUAAAGAAGGAAGAACCUGGAACAAGUUUGUCGUUAAUGAUGGAUUUGUGUUCCGUGCUAACAAGCUAUGCAUUCCAGCUAGCUCUCUUCGUCUUUUGUUGUUGCAGGAGGCGCAUGGAGGAGGAUUAAUGGGACACUUUGGCGUGAAGAAGACGGAGGACGUACUUGCUACACAUUUCUUUUGGCCAAAGAUGAGACGGGAUGUUGAGCGUUUUGUUGCUCGCUGCACUACAUGUCAAAAAGCUAAGUCACGAAUCAAUCCUCAUGGUUUAUAUAUGCCUUUGCCUGUACCUAGUGUUCCUUGGGAGGAUAUAUCUAUGGACUUUGUUUUAGGUUUACCUCGAACAAAGAAGGGGAGGGAUAGCAUAUUUGUUGUCGUGGAUAGAUUUUCAAAAAUGGCACACUUUAACCAUGUCAUAAAAGCGAUGAUGCUGUUAAUGUUGCUGAUUUGUUCUUCCGUGAAAUUAUUCGUUUGCAUGGUGUGCCCAAUACAAUUGUUUCUGAUCGUGAUACUAAAUUUCUUAGCCACUUUUGGAGAUGUUUAUGGGCUAAGUUGGGGACUAAACUGCUUUUUGGUACUACUUGUCACCCCCAAACUGAUGGACAAACUGAAGUAGUCAAUAGAACAUUGUCUACUAUGCUUAGGGCUGUUUUGAAGAAUAAUAAGAAAAUGUGGGAAGAAUGCUUGCCUCAUAUUGAGUUUGCUUAUAAUCGUUCAUUGCAUUCUACUACUAAGAUGUGCCCUCUUGAAAUUGUGUAUGGUUUCCUACCUCGUGCACCUAUUGAUUUGUUGCCUCUUCCAUCUUCGGAGAAGGUUAAUUUUAAUGCUAAACAACGUGCUGAAUUGAUCUUAAAAAUGCAUGAGUUAACUAACGAAAACAUUGAGCGUAUGAAUGGUAAAUAUAAACUUGCUGGAGAUAAGGGUAGAAAACAUGUUGUGUUUGCACCUGGAGAUCUUGUUUGGUUACAUUUGCGUAAGGAUAGAUUUCCUGAUUUGCGCAAAUCAAAGCUAAUGCCACGUGCUGAUGGUCCUUUUAAGGUGUUAGAGAAAAUAAAUGAUAAUGCAUAUAAACUUGAGCUGCCUGCAGAUUUUGGGGUUAGUCCCACUUUUAACAUUGCAGAUUUGAAGCCUUAUUUGGGUGAGGGAGAUGAGCUUCCGUCGAGGACGACUUCAUUUCAAGAAGGGGAGGAUGUUGCGGACAUCAAUACCAUUGUUACACCCACAACCCCUACUGCUAUACAUACUGGACCAAUUACUAGAGCUCGCGCACGCCAAUUAAAUUACCAGGUACUUUCGUUUCUCGGUAAUGAUUCUAAUGUUCAUGAGAAUAUGAUGUUGCCUAAAUUGGAUACAUUUGUGUUGCUUACAAAUGAAGGGCCUAGCUUUGAGAAGGAUGGACAUUGGAGCAAGAACAAGCAUGGAGAUGAUGGCAUGCGCAUGGGGGACAAGAACGGAGUUACAAGUGAUGAUUUCAGGACGUUGAAGCCACCAUAAUGCGUGCAUGAAGCCUUGGACGAAAUAUACAAGAUGUUACUUCAUAACUUUCGUCCAGAGGCUAUUCUAGGUGCUGCGUCACCUUAUUAUUGGGCCAGGCCCAUGUAAUUUCGAAAUACUUGAGUAUAGGCUAUUUUUAGAGUCCGUAUGUGUGGGGAAACAAGAGAUAGGGUUGGUUUCGGACCCCUUCCCCAAGGGCCACGAAAUUCCCCCCCUUCCUCCAUAUAUACAGCCCUUAGGGCGUCGUUUAGACUUUGGGUUUUGUUUUGAUUAAAAGUUCGCCAUAGCUGCAACUUUGCGUACUUCGUUUGUGUUCAACGAGCAGACAAAGGCGUCACAGAACCCCACCUUGAUCAAUAAAGCUUUCAUCUUAUAUUCACAAUAUCCAGAUUGCAAUCUCAGUUUCUUGCUUGUUCUUCGUUUGCUCGCAGGAAACAGACCCUCGUGGUCAGGUUGAUCGUGCUCCGGCGUGGUCAAUAACCUCUCGGAGUUGGUUUAGCGAUUGCUAAGGCGCGACGUCCUCGCACGUUCGUAGUCGGAUCGUCAAAGUCGACUUCCAUCAAAGCAAUAUCCAUCAUCUCAUCGAAAGACGGGACACCUUUGCCUCUAUCAUGUUCCCCAAACAAACGGUGCAUUUUUCUUACUCAAACAUGCAAAGGUGAGGCAAUGGUGCUAAAAUCCUUCACAAAUCUACGGUAGAAACUGGCUAAACCAAGAAAACUACGCACUUGUUGCAAAUUGGUUGGUUGGGGACAAGUUUUAAUAGCAUUGAGCUUAGAUUCAUCAACAUGAACACCCUUAGAAGAUACUAUGAAACCCAAGAAAACAAGCUUAUCAACACCAAAUAGGCAUUUUUCCAUAUUAGCAUAAAGUUGCUCUUUUCGAAGUGUUUGUAGCACGGUGCGAAGGUGGGUGACAUGUUCUUUGAGAGAUUUGCUAAACAAAAGGAUAUCAUCAAAGUAGACAACAACGAAUUCACCAAUGUAAGGUGAAACACGUAAUGCAUAAGACGCAUGAAAGUACCGGGUGCUUCCGAUAAACCCAUAGGCAUGACUAACCACUCAUAUAGACCAAACUUUGUUUUGAAAGCGGUUUUCCAUUCAUCACCCUCUUGUAUGCGGAUUUGAUAGUAACCACUUUUAAGAUCAAUUUUGGAAAAGAUAGUGGCACCACAAAGUUCAUCAAGCAUAUAAUCAAGGCGUGGAAUGCGGUACCUAUAACGAACGGUGAUAGCAUUGAUAGGUCUACAAUCGGAACACAUGCGAAAGCUGCCGUCUCAUUUUGGCACAAGAAUGACCGGUACGGCACAAGGACACAAACUUUCACGCACAUGACCAUGGUCUAUGAGAUGCUUUACUUGCCUUUGUAUUUCUUUGGUUUCUUCGGGGUUGACGCGGUAGGGAGCUUUGUUUGGAAGCGGUGCUCCAGGGAUGAGAUCGAUUCGGUGCUCAAUGCCUCGUAGUGGAGGUAGACCCGGAGGUAGCUCAUCGGGGAAAACAUCUUGGAAUUCCUGCAAUAAAGAAGAUAACACCAAAGGUAGAUCGUGAGAGUUGUUAGUUUUUGGUGCCUCAUCCUUGCACAAUAGGACAUAGUGUAGGACACUUGAUGGGUUCUCACACACUUCUCUCAUCUCACGUUUGGUGGCAAAUAGUACUAAGUUUUUCUUGUCGCUCAUCGUGGAGGCACUCAAUUUAGGCUUGUGGCGCUCACUCUCUUUUUGGUGGUUCACUCUCUCACUAUUCUCUCCACGAUGGGUGUUUUGCUUGUCGGCGAGCACUUGGCUUGGAGACAUAGGACGUAGCACAAACUCUUUCCCUUUCAUCUUGAAGCUAUAGUGAUUUGUACGCCCAUUGUGAAUGACACCUCGGUCAACUUGCCAUGGCCAUCCAAGAAGGAGGUGGCACACAGUCAUCGGAAGGACGUAGCACAAACUCUUUCCCUUUCAUCUUGAAAUUGGGGACGAACACAACAAAAUCAAGCUAGAAAGCACAACGGGGAGGCUCCGAAAUCGUGAUCAACGUGGCUCAUGAUACCAAGAUGAUGUAGGGUGGAACCCUAGAUGGCCGAUCUUUCACGAAAGGAGCGGAUCCCUACGAAGAACGUGAUGAACACGAGGGGAAACACGAGGGAAACACGAGGGGAACACGAGAGAAAUCACUCAACCAACAAGAAUAGAUCACACAUGCGCUAGAUCGAUGAACACAAAGGUAAGAUACAAGAUCCAAAGUCAACAACGGACGAUACAAACGGUAACCGGUUCUUCUCCGUAAGGAGGUCUUGAUGGGGGCCACCCAAGAGGGGGUCUUGAAUCCGAGGUGAUCUUCUCCGUAGAGGGGCCGCGGUCUCUCUCGUGGAGUAGAUCUGUAAUGGAUGAGCAAUGCUCUAUCUCACAUAUGAGCUAAACCAAUGCUGACCCUAACUAGGAGGAAGGAGAGGUCUAUUUAUAGUCUAGGUGCAAAAGGGGGCGAAGUGAAGGGGUACAUGGGCCUCAGCCCGUAACUGGACACAGCCAGGGCCCGGACGUCCGGGAGACGCCGGUCGUCCGGAGGCUCGCGGGGGUCCGGACGUCCGCAGUUCUUCGGAUGUCCGCAAUUUAGCUUCUGUUGCCACGGUGCCGGACGUCCAUGGGCGUUCGGUCGUCCGGUCGCCGGUCGUCCGGUCUUUCUCGGAUUUCCGUAGAUUUGGUUCUGUUGGCGUAGUGUCGGUCGUCCGGAAGGGCUCGGACGUCCGGAGCUUGGGAGUCGGCGGACGUCCGGUCUGGGUCGGUCGUCCGGCCGCUGUAGCGUUCGCAGGCUUGGUUUCCUUGGGCUGUAGCGACCUCCAGGGGUCGGACGUCCGGGCUGGGCCGGUCGUCCGGAGCCAGUAGCUUCCGUGGCGGCUCUUCCUCUUGAUCUUCGCGCUUGGUGUCCUCGCCGUCUUGUCCGUUGGAUGUAGGAGGUCCAUGGUUCUCCUCCAAGUACCUGAUCACACAUAGUGUUUCCGUUUGAGGUAGUAGCCAUGUCUCAUGUGUCGAAAGUGGUAGUUCGGAAAGGAGCAAGUUCACCUUAUCUUCGAUAGCCUUAGCUCGAGCUCUUGUCAUUGGUCCAAGUGGUGUCGUGGGAGACGUAGGUAGGUCCAUGGGGAUGACCUUGGGAUGCUCCGCAUCAGCUGCCCUCUCGGUCUCCCAGCCAGUUUUAUCAGCACUGAAGUCUUGUUUCAGUUUUUCAAUGUUUUCCAGUGAAGUCUUCAGCUUUGCUUUGGCUUUUGCAGUCUCAGAUUGUUGGGUUUGAAUGUUGGCCCUCACAUCUUUGACUUGGGAUUCCAUCAUAUUUAGUUCAGCCUGCAACAUGAACAAGGUGGGAGGUAUUAUUAUCAUAUUAUUUUUUGAAGUCCCAAGCACUUGGGGGCUAAUUGAAGGAAAUAUGCCCUAGAGGCAAUAGUACAGUUGUUAUUUAUAUUUCCUUAUAUCAUGAUAAAUGUUUAUUAUUCAUGCUAGAAUUGUAUUAACCGGAAACUUAGUACAUGUGUGAAUACAUAGACAAAAUAGAGUGUCCCUAGUAUGCCUCUACUCGACUAGCUCGUUAAUCAAAGAUGGUUAAGUUUCCUGACCAUAGACAUGUGUCUACAUUUGAUGAAUGGGAUCACAUCAUUAGAGAAUGAUGUGAUGGACAAGACCCAUCUGUUAGCUUAGCAUUAUGAUCAUUUAGUUUUAUUGCUAUUGCUUUCUUCAUGACUUAUACAUAUUCCUCUGAUUAUGAGAUUAUGCAACUCCCGAAUACCGGAUGAACACCUUGUGUUCUAUCAAAUGUCACAAUGUAACUGGGUGAUUAUAAAGAUGCUCUACAGGUGUCUCCGAAGGUGUUUGUUGAGUUGGCAUAGAUCAAGAUUAGGAUUUGUCACUCAGUGUAUCGGAGAGGUAUCUCUGGGCCCUCUCGGUAAUGCACAUCACGAUAAGCCUUGCAAGCAAUGUGACUAAUGAGUUAGCUACAGGAUGAUGCAUUAUGGAACAAGUAAAGAGACUUGCUGGUAACGAGAUUGAACUAGGUAUGAUGAUACCGACGAUCGAAUCUCAGGCAAGUAACCGAUGACAAAGGGAAUGACAUAUGUUGUUAUGCGGUUUGACCGAUAAAGAUCUUCAUAGAAUAUGCAGGAGCCAAUAUGAGCAUCCAGGCUUCGCUAUUCGUUAUUGACCGGAGAUGUGUCCCAAUCAUGUCUACAUAGUUCUCGAACCCGUAGGGUCCGCACGCUUAACGUUCGAUGACGAUUUGUAUUAUGAGUUAUGUGUUUUGGUGACCGAAGUUUGUUGGAGUCUCGGAUGAGAUCACGGACAUGACGAGGAGUCUCGAAAUGGUCGAGAGGUAAAGAGUCAUAUAUUGGAAGGUUGUAUUCGGACAUCGGAAUGGUUCCGAGUGAUUCGCUUAUUUUACCGGACUACCGAGGGGUUACCGGAACCCCCCGGGGAAGUGUUGGGCCAACAUGGGCCUAAGGGAGAGAGAGGGAAGCCCGCGGGGGGUGGCCGCGCGCCCCCCUCCUAGGGAGUCCGAAUAGGACAAGGAGGAGGGGGCGGCGCCCCUUCCCUUUCCCUCUCCCUCUCCUUCCUAUUCCCUCUGGUGGAGAAAGGAAAGGGGGGCGAAUCCUACUUGGACCAGGAGUCCAAGUAGAACUCCCCCCAUGAUACAACUCCGUCGUAUCUAUAAUUUUUGAUUGUUUCAUGCCAAUAUUAUACCACUUUUACAUACUUUUAGCAACUUUUUAUAUGAUUUAUUUGACUAACCUAUUGAUCUAGUGCCCAGUGCCAGUUCCUAUUUUCUGCAUGUUUUUGGUAUCGCAGAGUAUCCAUAUCAAACAAAGUCCAAAUGCAAUAAAUUUUACAGAGAAUUAUUUUGGAAUAUAUGUGAUUUUUGGGAGUUGGAAUCACCACAAACGGCGGCCCGUGGUGGACACAACCCACUAGGGCGCGCCAGAGGAGCCAGGCGUGCCGUGGUGGGUUGUGCCCACCUCGUACGUUGGUUGGGGCUCUACUUCGGGCGGAAGGAAGCUUAUAUCCAGAAAAAAAAACCGUGGUAAAAUCUCAGCGCAAUCGGAGUUACGGAUCCCCGGGAAUAUAAGAAAGGGUUUUUGGUCAGCUUUGGGGAACGCGAAACAGAAGAGAACAGAGAGGGAGAUCCAAUCUCGGAGGGGCUCCCGCCCUCCGCCGCCAUGGAGACCAAGGACCAGAGGGGGGAAUCUCCUCCCUAUCUAGGCGGGAGGCCAGGGAUGAAGAAGAAGUAGGGGGCUAGAUAUGAAUUGGUUUGUAACAGUACUUACAGUAGUGAUUUGCUUUAUUAUACUAACAGAUCUUACUAAACUUUCUGUUGAGUUUUGUGUGGAUGAAGUGAUCAAAGAUCGAGGAGGUCUCGAUAUGAGGAGAAGGAGGAGAGGCAAGAGUUCAAGCUUGGGGAUGCCCAAGGCACCCCAAGUAAAUAUUCAAGGAGGCUCAAGCGUCUAUGCUUGGGGAUGCCCCGGAAGGCAUUCCAUCUUUCUUCAACAAGUAUCGGUAUGUUUUCAAUUUUGUUUCAUUCAUGUGAUAUGUGCAAAUCUUGGAGCGUCUUUUGUAUUUAGUUUUUCCCUUUUUCUUUUAUGCACCAUGCUGGUAUGAGAUAGUCCACCUUGCAUAUUAUGAGAGAAAAGGCAUUAGAAUUACUCCAAAAGGCAUUAUUAUACAAUAAAACAUAGUAAAUAACAGUAGGUAAACAUGAUGCAAAAUGGACGUAUCAACUCCCCUAAGCUUAGACCUCGCUUGUCCUCAAGCGAAAACUGAAAUCGAAAAACAUGUCCACAUGCUUAGAGAGAGAGGUGUCGAUAAAAACAAAAUACGGACAUAGAAGCAUCAUGUAUAUUAUUAUAACAGCAACAAACUUUAUCAUAGAACUUUGAUCAUAAACUUCUCAUGAACAAGUAACAUUUCAUCACAACAUCGAAGUAUAAAGCAUAAACUCUACUGAAAACCAACAAACCAUGUUCUCAGUCAACUUUGCAACUACAAUUCAUCAUCUUUUCAGGAAGGGUCUCGUAUCGGAGCCUUUUGGCAAGUCGACAUACUCAACCAUCAUAUAGUCUUCUAUGAUUGAUAACACCCACCGCAUACCUAUGAGCAAAAAGUUUCAACCAGACACCUAGGAAGAUAGGGACUUAUAGUUUCGCCUCCCAACGUAUUCACCUCAAGGGUGAUGUCAACAAUAAUAACUCAUGCCCACCCAUAUUCAACUGGAUAUAUGUGCCUAGAUCUUUCCUCACCACAUGAUGCUUGCAAAAGAGAAAAAUAAAAAGGAAUAGGGAAGAAUACUUUGACUCUUGCACAAAAGUAAAUACAUAAAAGUAAAAGACAGGCCCUUCGUAGAGGAAUGCAGAGGUUGCCAUGCGCUUUUUGGUUGUAUGCUCAAUCUCUUAGUGCAAAAGAAUGUCACGUUAUAUUGCCCCUUGUGAUAGCAACCUUUAUUAUGCAGUCUGUCGCCUUUAUUAUUUUGCCAUCACAAUUUCAUACAACACUCAAUUUUCUCUUACACUAAAUGAUCUAACACAUUUAGAAGCAAUUUUUAUUGCCUUAUUGCACCGAUGACAACUUACUUGAUGGAUCUUAGUUAAUCCAUAGGUAGGUAUGGUGGACUCUCAAAGCAAGAUUUGGGUUUAAGGGUUUUUGGAUGCACAAGUAGUAUCUCUACUUAGUGCAGAAUUUUUGGCUAGCAAAGAUAGGGGCAAGCACCAAAUGUUAAACGGUCUAUGACAGUAUAACUUCUAUGUGAAUAUGAACAAACAAAAAUCAUUAUGUUGUCUUCCUUGUCCAACGUCAACAAUUUUGGCAUAUAAUAUUUUGAUGGGGGCUCACAAUCAUAGAAGAUGUCCAACAUAGUGUAUUUGCAUGUGAAUCUUCUCUUCCCUUAUUAAUUCUUUCAUGAAUUGCAUCAUUGACCAAUGCUAUGUUUGUCAAUCUCUAAUAAAUUUUACUACUUAUACUCUUCCUAUGUGAUGUCAUCACUUACCAUAAGAUUUGUCGGUGUUCUGGGAACGGGGGUGCCCAGACUUGCCUGCCUACAGCCCACGGCAUGGCUCCAUCUACGGCCUGGUACGGCCCAGCUUCAGCAUCAACAACUCAAGACCCUCGCGAGGGGCCAAGCCUCGUGAGGCAGACGACACCAAGACCUCCAGAAGGAGCGGCCUCCCCAGGCAGGCUCCUGAGGAGCGGAGAUUUCUAUGCAAUCCUCACCUCGUGAGGUUUGGAUGACGUGAGCCAUAACGACCAAGGCCAAGCGGGUGCCAGCGCGUGCAGUGCAGCAGUUUCCUCUUUAGUGCUAAAGAGGCAAGUGCAGGCGCGGAGUCCCGAGGAAUCAGCCAAAGGUUUCCGUUCCCAUGCAACGAGACCAAGACCGCCAGGACAGCAGGAGCCCACCGCAGCGUCACGACCAGAAGCUUUGCAGGCGAAGACUACUUUUGUCAGGAUAAGAUGUACUAGUUGUCUCCCUUUGAAUUUGGCCAUUGUGGGAUCCCUACCCGCCUUCAUUUGGGAAGAGGACCAAGACCGCUAUAAAUAGGACCUAGCCACUACCAUGAAGGGGGGUCAUUUCAGAUCAUCCUCUCCCACACUAGCUCAAGAACACGCCUCCUGAGGUCGUUCUCCCACUGUACUAGUUUAUCCUCAGCCCCUCGAGGCCAAUCCACCACAAAGCAGGAGUAGGGUUUUACACCGCAAGGUGGCCCGAACCUGGGUAAACUGUUGUGUCCCAUUUCCUUCUUGCUCGACGAGCUAGGCCAUGAGAUCAGCGAGUUGGCAGACUGGGGAGGUUGAGUUCUUCGCACGCACCCCAGAGUUCGAACCUCUCAAGGGUCUGCGGAACCCAAAAUCCGACAUUUGGCGUGCCGGGUAGGGGUGCGUCGGAGCCUCUCUUCCGCCGGUCGAUUUGCCACCGCUUCACCGCCCCCUUGGACGAUGCUCGUCGAGCUCGUGCUCAGCACCGGGCCGCCCUCACCGCCCGCGUCGCUCAGACAGCACCGGCGGGCGAUGUCUAUCCUCGCCAUCCCUCGUCGCUAGUGGAGAACACCGCCAUCGGCCCCGCGGGCCAUGAGCAGCAGGCCUCGUCGCUGCAUCCUUCUAUGCGGCUAGAUGGACACACCGCCACCUCGUCGCUGACUCCGGCUGCUUCGUCUUCCCAUGCUCGUCGUGGUCCGGCAAACGCGUAGGCCGCGCUGCUCAUGGCAUGUGAGCUUCUGCGCUACCGCCCGGUCGAUGACCACUACGAGACUGGCUGGACCGCAUCGCUGAGCUCGUCAGUGCCCCCGGAGGGUCUCCUGCACCAUCUCGCUCGCUUCCUCACCCAACGCCUGCCGCGGGUGACGUGGCCCAUGGGGCGCCUCCUCCACCUCCCCGACAAGACGUCAUCAUCAAGCCAAGGUGGGAGGCCCGUCGGCACGAUCCGCAGCACAGGGCGCCCGUGCACAACAAGGCAAGCUGCAAGGUGGUGCAGCGGCCGCAGGGAGAGGCGCGUGUGCUCCCUGCACCGCCACGUCAAGACCGCGCGCCGCCCGCGGCGGUGGUGCACGAGUGCCAAGACCAGGCUCCACCUCCACGGUGGGCUCCCGUGAACACACCGGGAUGUUGCGUUUUACUCCAGAGCUGCGCAGCGUCGUCUGGCCAGGGAAGUUCAAGCCCGACCUGCCUCCACGCUACGACGACACCCAUGACCCUGCUGAGUUCAUACAUCUCAACGAGCUGAGCAUCAAGGCGGCCAACAGCGACGAGAAGCUCUGAUGAGGACAUCAAUACCAUUAUUACACCCACAACCCCUGCUGCUAUACAUACUGGACCAAUUACUAGAGCUCGCGCACGCCAAUUAAAUUACCAGGUACUUUCGUUUCUUGGUAAUGAUUCUAAUGUUCAUGAGAAUAUGAUGCUGCCUAAAUUGGAUACAUUUGUUUUGCUUACAAAUGAAGGGCCUAGCUUUGAGAAGGAUGAACAUUGGAGCAAGAACAAGCAUGGAGAUGAUGGCAUGCGCAUGGGGAACAAGAACGGAGUUACAAGUGAUGAUUUCAGGACGUUGAAGCCACCAUAAUGCGUGCAUGAAGCCUUGGACGAAAUAUACAAGAUGCUACUUCAUAACUUCCGUCCAGAGGCUAUUCUAGGUGCUGCGUCACCUUAUUAUUGGGCCAGGCCCAUGUAAUUUCGAAAUACGUGAGUAUAGGCUGUUUUUAGAGUCCGUAUGUGUGGGGAAACAAGAGAUAGGGUUGGAGGAGCACGAUCAUCAUUCAGUAAGUUAAGCUAUGGAUUUCAAUUGGAGGAGCAAGGCCGUUGGACUGGGCUUUUUCGCACCCGUGUGGUGGUGAGAGAGAGAUCAUGUGCCAUGACGAUUUGAUAGAGGCAAAGGUGUCCCGUCUUUCGAUGAGAUGAUGGAUAUCGCUUUGGUGGAAGUCGACUUUGACGAUCCGACUACGAACGUGCGAUGACGUCGCGCCUUAGCAAUCGCUGAACCAACUCCGAGAGGUUAUUGACCACGCCGGAGCACGAUCAACCUGACCACGAGGGUCUGUUUCCUGCGAGCAAACGAAGAACAAGCAAGAAACUGAGAUUGCAAUCUGGAUAUUGCGAAUAUAAGAUGAAAGCUUUAUUGAUCAAGGUGGGGUUCUGUGACGCCUUUGUCUGGUCGUUGAACACAAACGAAGUACGCGAAGUUGCAGCUAUGGCGAACUUUUAAUCUAAACAAAACCCAAAGUCUAAACGACGCCCUAAGGGCUUUAUAUAUGGAGGAAGAGGGGUGGGGGAAUUUCGUGGCCCUUGGGGAAGUGGUCCGAAACCAACCCUAUCUCUUGUUUCCCCACACAUACGGACUCUAAAACAGCCUAUACUCAAGUAUUUCGAAAUUCAUGGGCCUGGCCCAAUAAUAAGGUGACGCAGCACCUAGAAUAGCCUCUGGACGAAAGUUAUGUAGUAGCAUCUUGUAUAUUUCGUCCAAGGCUUCAUGCACGCAUUAUGGUGGCUUCAACGUCCUGAAAUCAUCACUUGUAACUUCGUUCUUGUUCCCCAUGCGCAUGCCAUCAUCUCCAUGCUUGUUCUUGCUCCAAUGUUCAUCCUUCUCAAAGCUAGGCCCUUCAUUUGUAAGCAAAACAAAUGUAUCCAAUUUAGGCAGCAUCAUAUUCUCAUGAACAUUAGAAUCAUUACCAAGAAACGAAAGUACCUGGUAAUUUAAUUGGCGUGCGCGAGCUCUAGUAAUUGGUCCAGUAUGUAUAGCAGCAGGGGCUGUGGGUGUAACAAUGGUAUUGAUGUCCUCAUCAUCCUCCCCUUCUUGAAAUGAAGUCGUCCUCGACGGAAGCUCAUCUCCCUCACCCAAAUAAGGCUUCAACUCUCCAAUGUUAAAAGUGGGACUAACCCCAAAAUCUGCAGGCAGCUCAAGUUUAUAUGCAUUAUCAUUUAUUUUCUCUAACACCUUAAAAGGACCAUCAGCACGUGGCAUUAGCUUUGAUUUGCGCAAAUCAGGAAUUCUAUCUUUACGCAAAUGUAACCAAACAAGAUCUCCAGGUGCAAACACAACAUGUUUUCUACCCUUAUCUCGAGCAAGUUUAUAUUUAGCAUUCAUACGCUCAAUGUUUUCCUUAGUUAACUCAUGCAUUUUUAAGAUCAAUUCAGCACGUUGUUUAGCAUCAAAAUUAACCUUCUCCGAAGAUGGAAGUGGCAACAAAUCAAUAGGUGCACGAGGUAGGAAACCAUACACAAUUUCAAAAGGGCACAUCUUAGUAGUAGAAUGCAAUGAACGAUUAUAAGCAAACUCAAUAUGAGGCAAGCAUUCUUCCCACAUUUUCUUAUUAUUCUUCAAAACAGCCCUAAGCAUAGUAGACAAUGUUCUAUUGACUACUUCAGUUUGUCCAUCAGUUUGGGGGUGACAAGUAGUACUAAAAAGCAGUUUAGUCCCCAACUUAGCCCAUAAACAUCUCCAAAAGUGGCUAAGAAAUUUAGUAUCACGAUCUGAAACAAUAGUAUUUGGCACACCAUGCAAACGAAUAAUUUCACGGAAGAACAAAUCAGCAACAUUAACAGCAUCAUCGCUUUUAUGACAUGGUAUAAAGUGUGCCAUUUUUGAAAAUCUAUCCACGACAACAAAUAUGCUAUCCCUCCCCUUCUUUGUUCGAGGUAAACCUAAAACAAAGUCCAUAGAUAUAUCCUCCCAAGGAACACUAGGUACAGGCAAAGGCAUAUAUAAACCAUGAGGAUUGAGUCGUGACUUAGCUUUUUGACAUGUAGUGCAGCGAGCAACAAAACGCUCAACAUCCCGUGUCAUCUUUGGCCAAAAGAAAUGUGUAGCAAGUACGUCCUCCGUCUUCUUCACGCCAAAGUGUCCCAUUAAUCCUCCUCCAUGCGCCUCCUGCAACAACAAAAGACGAAGAGAGCUAGCUGGAAUGCAUAGCUUGUUAGCACGGAACACAAAUCCAUCAUUAACGACAAACUUGUUCCAGGUUCUUCCUUCUUUACAAUUCUGCAAAACAUCUUUAAAAUCAGCAUCAUGCACAUAUUGAUCUUUGAUGGUCUCCAAACCAAAUAUUUUUAAGUCAAGUUGUGAAAGCAUAGUAUAGCGACGAGACAAUGCAUCAGCAAUAACAUUUUCUUUACCCUUCUUGUGUUUAAUGACAUAAGGGAAAGUUUCAAUGAAUUCAACCCAUUUAGCAUGUCUACGAUUCAGUUUAGCUUGACUUUUAAUAUGUUUCAAAGAUUCACAAUCAGAAUGUAUAACAAAUUCUUUAGGCCAUAAAUAAUGUUGCCAUGUUUCUAAAGUCCGAACAAGAGCAUAUAGUUCUUUAUCAUAAGUAGAAUAAUUCAGACUAGGCCCACUCAAUUUUUCAGAAAAGUAUGCAACAGGUUUACCAUCUUGUAAUAACACACCUCCUAAUCCAAUUCCACUAGCAUCACAUUCAAGCUCAAAAGUCUUAUUAAAAUCAGGAAGUUGGAGUAAAGGAGCAUGUGUCAACUUAUCUUUCAAUACCGUGAAGGCUUCUUCCUGUGCGAUACCCCAAACAAAAGGCACAUCCUUCUUUGUAAGCUCGUUGAGAGGUGCAGCAAUGGUGCUGAAAUCUCUCACAAAACGCCUAUAGAAACCAGCGAGGCCAAGGAAACUCCUCACUUGUGUGACCGUUUUGGGCUGCGGCCAACUCUCAAUAGCUUCAAUCUUGGCUUUAUCAACUUCAAUUCCCUGUGGAGUAACAACAUAGCCAAGAAAAGAUACUUGGUCGGUGCAAAAGAUGCACUUCCCAAGGUUACCAAACAAACGUGCAUCACGUAGAGCAAUAAAAACAACACGUAAAUGUUCCAAAUGUUCUUCCAAAGAUUCGCUAUAAAUCAGUAUAUCAUCAAAAUAGACUACCACAAAUCGUCCAAUGAAAGCACGUAAAACUUCGUUCAUUAGUCCCAUGAAAGUACUAGGUUCAUUAGUUAACCCAAAAGGCAUGACUAACCACUCAUAUAAACCAAACUUAGUUUUAAAUGCAGUUUUCCAUUCAUCUCCCAAUUUCAUACGAAUUUGAUGGUAUCCACUACGCAAAUCAACUUUGGAAAAUAUUGUAGAGCCACUCAAUUCAUCAAGCAUAUCAUCUAGCCUAGGAAUAGGAUGACGAUAACGAAUAAUAAUGUUAUUAAUGCCUCUACAAUCAACACACAUACGCGAUGUGCCAUCCUUUUUAGGCACAAGUAUAAUAGGAACAGCACAAGGACUAAGAGAUUCGCGUAUAUAACCUUUGUCGAGCAGCUCCUGUACUUGACGCAUAAUCUCCUUCGUCUCCUCUGGAUUGGUACGGUAUGGUGCACGGUUGGGUAGUGAUGCACCGGGAAUUAAGUCAAUUUGAUGCUCAAUCCCUCGAAUAGGUGGUAAUCCCGGUGGCACGUCUUGUGGAAAGACGUCAGCGAACUCCUGCAAAAUGUUAGUGAUAGCAGGGGGCAAAGAGGAAGGCACGUCCUCGAAUGAAAAUAAUGCCUCCUUGCACACAAAAGCAUAGCAAACAGAUUUGUUGAAAUGUAGCUCAUCAAUAUCAGAUUUUGUGGCAAGUAAACAUGCACUUUUCAAUUUAAUUUCAAAAACAGCACUAGAUGGUUUAUUAUUAGGUUUCAUUUGUUGCUCAAAUUCUUUUGCCACAAUCUGAUUUUCACUCUUAUUUUCCUGUUUUGCUUUAUUAGCUCUAUUAAUGUCAUCUUUCAAAAUGGAAUCAGGAGUCAUAGGAAGCAAAGUAGUAUUUUUAUCCUUAUGAACAAGAGUAUACUGAUUGUUUCUACCAUGGAGUACAGAGUUGUUAUCAAAUUGCCAUGGUCUACCAAGUAAUAAGGAACAUGCUUGCAUGGGUACCACAUCACAAUCAACAUAAUCAGCAUAUGUAGAGAUACUAAAAUGCACACGAACAGUACGUGUUACCUUAACCUUGCCGUUGUUGUUGAACCAUUGGAUGUAGUAAGGAUGUGGAUGUGGUCUUGUGGUGAGAGAUAGUUUCUCCACCAUCUCCAUGCUAGCCAAGUUGUUACAGCUCCCUCCAUCUAUGAUGACGCGAACAGAAUGUUCCUUCACAACUCCCUUUGUAUGGAACAAAUUAUGCCUCUGAUUUUGCUCUGCUUGUGUGACCCGCACACUCAAAACACGUUGAGCAACUAAACAUUCAUACCUGUCAGCGUCUUCAAGAGCCAUGUAUUGCGUCUUAUUUUCAGAAUCAUCUCCACCAUGUUCUUCAUGUGUAAUAAGAGCCAAAGUCUCCUCAUCAUAGUCACUAGCGGACUCAUACCCACCAUCCUCAGUAGCAAUCAUUACACGCUGAGAUUUGCAUUCUCACGCAUAAUGUCCUCUUCCCUUACAACGACGACAAAUAAUAUCACUUGUGUGCCCUGUUGAUGCCAUGGAAGAAGAAGAGCUCUGUGCAGGCCCGGCAGGUGCGCUCUUGGCAGAUAGUGGUGGUUGUGCCUACUUUCUUGUAUCACGGCUGGAGGUGGAACCUGAUGGAGGUGCUGGUGCAGUGGAAGUAGAAGAUGCACGCGGUGUCCAUGAUGAAGGUCGACCUGCAGAAAAGUUAGUUCGCGCCAAUGCUUGUCGAUCCUGCACUUCACGUUCAGCUUUACAAGCAAGAUGGAAUAAAUGAGUGAUAUUAGUAUACUCCUUAUACUCUAGAAUGGUCUGAAUCUCUCUAUUUAAACCACCCAUAAAACGUGCAAGCAUAGCUUCAUUCUCCUCAACAAUACCACAUCUAAUCAUGCCAGUUUGUAAUUCCUGAUAAUAUUCUUCUACAGAAUUUUUCCCUUGUCGUAAACGCUGCAGUUUUUGAAGCAAUUCACGUUGAUAAUAUGGUGGAACCCAACGAGUACGCAUAGCAGUUUUCAAAGCAGCCCAAGUAGCUGGAAUAGGAUAUAAUCUACAAUGUUCAGACCACCAUACACAUGCAAAACUAGUGAAAGCACAAACAGCAGCAGCAACCCGUCUCUCCUCGGGAUAUUGUAAACAUGUAAAACGUUGUUCAGUUUCUAACUCCCAAGUAAGAUAUACAGCAGGAAUGUAUCUACCCUCAAACGGUGGAAUAUUCAAUUUCAGUUUAGGAACAUGGUCAUGAUCUCGUACCUGAGGUGGUGGUGCAGGCCUACCGUUGCGAAUAUAUACCUGAGGUCGACCUGCUGGAGGUGGUGCUGGUGGCUGCACGUAGUUCUGAUUUUGAUCAACCUCAUCCUCAUAAUCGCCCGCAUAAUCGUCAUCCUCCUCAGCCGCCGCAGUAGCAGGAGCCAAAGAAGCAUCAACAGUAGGUGCAGCGGCACCCGGAUUUUGACCAGUCUCAAUUGGAACGCGCUGUGCUCGUCCCACUUGAUUUGGAAGGCGGCGUUGGAGAUGUGGUUGGUGUUGUUGUAGAGGUGCGACAGGUGCAGCCGGUGGUGGUUGGGGAAGACGCUUGAGCAAUUCAUGAAACCUGUUAUCCAGCAUUGUCUCAAACGACUUCUCCACGGCAUCUAUCUUCUCCAUAGCCUCUUCAAAUCUGUUUAGCACAUCUCCCACCUGGCCACUCAUCAUUUGCUGAAAUUUAUCAUGCAACCCCUUGUUCGUCAUGUUCUCCCAAUUAGUCUCAUCGGCUUGUGAUCCUGCCAUGGUUAGCAGCAAUAGAAACACAAAAGAAUAUGAUCCUACAGACUACUAGGAAGUGGUGGUGAUGGUGGUGUGUCACAAAUCCUUCAGGCGAAUCUCAAAUUUUUACCAGUUCUUACCCAGCAGCAGGUGGUGAUCGGCAACCGUUGUAGGCAAAACUCUCAAAGCUUGGAUAGAGCGAUUACCAGGGAGAGUCUAACGCACGACGUAGAUGUAUGUGGAGCUGGGAAGGCUUAUAAUAUGGUAGCAAAAAGGGUCAGCAAUAAUCAAUUCAGAUAUGCAAAGUUGAAUAAACGCUCAACGACGGUACUGUGCUGGUCCUAGGCUAGACCGUGCUAGAGACGCGAGCCUAGAACACUAACAAAAUCACGGCGCUGCACGUAAACAAGGGAGGAGCACAGUCUGAAAAAAAAAUUGCACUUUUUUUUGCUCCGCAACAAUUUUUUUCCGAAAAAGUCUACAAAUGGUCUAAAAACUGCCUAGCCAGAAUUUUCCAGACUUAGUUUUUUUUGAAACUGGAACUAUUUUUCUACUGCGGGUAACAUAAAAGUUUGGGAGUCCUUCUCUGUCACGACUCGGAGUAUGGCGUGAUCUGGAAAUCCAAAACAGAGUAACAAAAUACUGGACUUGGACUGGUGGCGGAGAUGAAUCUGGUGGAACUCGGACUGGUGGCGGAGAUGAAUCUGGUGGAACUCGGACUGGUGGCGGAGAUGAAUCUGGUGGAACUCGGACUGGUGGCAGAUAUAUGUUGCAGGUGUACUCUGAUUGGCGUGAUGGCGGCGGAUAUGUGGUGGCGUAUAUGGACUCGGAUUGGCGGUGAAUAUGUGGUGGUGGUAUAUGGCAGCGGCGAUGAAGUUGGUGCGGUGGUGGUAUAUGGCCGCGGCGAUGAUGAUGAUGCAGUGGUGAUAUAUGGCAGCGGCGACGUGACAACCUGUGAACAGAACUCGAAACUCUAAAGGACUAGACGCUAAGACCAGCAACUUGACACGACGAUGCAACCGCAAAUUCAACAAAGCAAACACAGAAAAGAUUAUGCAAAGGCUCAGAUUGGUUCGGAUAGGAUGAACUAACCCUAAAUUUUUUUUGGCUUUUUCGUGGACUAUAGGUAUGAAGAACAAACUCGAUCUAAACUACGAAAAACUGUAAAAUCUCACCGAGCAACCUGGAAAUCUGAUACCACUUGAUAGAGGCAAAGGUGUCCCGUCUUUCGAUGAGAUGAUGGAUAUCGCUUUUGUGGAAGUCGACUUUGACGAUCCGACUACGAACGUGCGAUGACGUCGUGCCUUAGCAAUCGCUAAACCAACUCCGAGAGGUUAUUGACCACGCCGGAGCACGAUCAACCUAACCACGAGGGUCUGUUUCCUGCGAGCAAACGAAGAACAAGCAAGAAACUGAGAUUGCAAUCUGGAUAUUGCGAAUAUAAGAUGAAAGCUUUAUUGAUCAAGGUGGGGUUCUGUGACGCCUUUGUCUGGUCGUUGAACACAAACGAAGUACGCAAAGUUGCAGCUAUGGGGAACUUUUAAUCUAAACAAAACCCAAAGUCUAAAUGACGCCCUAAGGGUUGUAUAUAUGGAGGAAGAGGGGGGAAUUUCGUGGCCCUUGGGGAAGGGGUCCGAAACCAACCCUAUCUCUUGUUUCCCCACACAUACGAACUCUAAAAACAGCCUAUACUCAAGUAUUUCGAAAUUACAUGGGCCUGGCCCAAUAAUAAGGUGACGCAGGACCUAGAAUAGCCUCUGGACGAAAGUUAUGAAGUAGCAUCUUGUAUAUUUCGUCCAAGGCUUCAUGCACGCAUUAUGGUGGCUUCAACGUCCUGAAAUCAUCACUUGUAACUCCGUUCUUGUUCCCCAUGCGCAUGCCAUCAUCUCCAUGCUUGUUCUUGCUCCAAUGUCCAUCCUUCUCAAAGCUAGGCCCUUCAUUUGUAAGCAAAACAAAUGUAUCCAAUUUAGGCAGCAUCAUAUUCUCAUGAACAUUAGAAUCAUUACCAAGAAACGAAAGUACCUGGUAAUUUAAUUGGCACGCGCGAGCUCUAGUAAUUGGUCCAGUAUGUAUAGCAGCAGGGGCUGUGGGUGUAACAAUGGUAUUGAUGUCCUCAUCAUCCUUCAUCCUUGUACUUGGGGACUUGUCCAUCAUUCCGAGCAUCUCCGAGACGGUCUCCUUGGUACCUAGGCAUAUGUAGUGUCCUUGCAUUAGGUAGCAACCAUGUCUCACAUGAAUGGAAAGGAGAAGCAUUUAGGAGCGGGUUCACCUUAGGUCCAAAGGCGUAGGCUCGAGUGUACAUGGGGAUGAUCGUAGGAUGCUCCGCAUCAUCUCCCCUCCCUUGGGAAAGAUCCGACCUCGGAUCAAAAUCCUCAUCACCAUGGAAACAGUUGUCGUGGACGGACUUGUAAUUGGACGAAGUGGAAGACAUGGCGCAAUCCAAGUACUCCAAGGUGUGUCCGGAGUGGUACACAUGCAAAAAGAGCAAACACAAACAACACUUGGAAACACAAUGGUUAGCGCACACAAAGUGUCCAUCAUGUAAGAAUGAGUCCGUGAGGCAAGAUUGUUCGUGGGAAAGCGCAUGAAGCUUAUCAAGAUGAUAUAGAAUGAUAUGCAAAGCGUUCAUGGGAGAAAAAUCAUACAUUGUGCACACAAAUGUGUUUUGAAUAUGAUGAAUGCAACCACGGUGCAAAAUGAUGUCAUAGUGAGACGGUUUAUCAAUAGCAUGAAUAUGGCAAUGGAUGCUCAAUAUGAUUAUGUUAUCAUGCAAUUGAUGGCAGGCAAUGUGAUUAUUAUGUAUGAAUAUGCCAUCAAGAAAGAUCACAACAAAUUUGCUAAGGAAAUGCACAAGCUCAUAUAUCAUGGAGGACAUGGAAAUACAAGAUGCACCAAGGCAAUCAUAAUGCAAGUCAAUCCAUGUAUAAAGUGCAAACUUCUAAUGGGAGUUGUUGUACCAUCGCUCAAUGUCGUGGCACUCCUCAUCUUGAAGGUCCAUAGGGUCCAUCUCCAAUGUCGGUCCUCCAUCCAAUAGAUGUAUCAUGUAGACAAGAAGAAGGAAACAACAAUGAAAGAAUGACCCAUCCAAUAUGCGUAAUUGAGGAUGGCUCAAAGGGAAAGAGUUCACCUUGAUGAGUUUGUCGAAAAUGUUUUAUUGCACAUCAUAUACGCCUUCACGUAGCCAAUAUGUCUCUUGAUGGUAAUGCCUUGAGAAUCCUUCAAAAUGAAAGAACAUGGCAAACACUUGGAAAAACAAAUGAGGUUAGUGCAAAUGUAGCACCUAUCAUUCGAGUGGUAAGAUACCAAACAAGUGUUCUCAUCAUUCUUAUCAUAAGAAAGGACAAGGUGUGGUAUGGUAUGAAAGCAUAUGAUGCGAGAACAACCAAAUACAAUAGGUUCAAUCAAACAAGCAUGCAUCACACGUAAGGUGUCAAAGUCUCCAAGAUCAAUAAGCAUAGAGGCGACUAUUGGAGGCAAGCGACAAUAAACAAGAUAUAUCAUGUGAGAGGCAUGAGCAUAUAUAUCAUCAACCCAAGAAAGCGAGUAAUGGAACAUGGGUGAUGCAACCAAGCAAGUAAUCAUAGUGAUCAAGUCAAGCAAGCUAGUAGUGCGAAGAUGCAACGUACUAGAAGGAAUCAUGGCAAGCAUGUCAUGUGUGCAAAUAGUGGGCAUAUAUAAUGCACAUGACAUUUCACAAGCAUAAAGGCAAGAUAUGAGCAAAAUAGCAUCAAUAGCAUGGGGCACAUGAUAAACAUGGCAAUAGCAACAAGGAUCUCCACCAAGCAUGCAAAUACACAUAGGAGUAUCAUAAUGGUGAAUCAUGGGUAAGAGCAAGCAAGGGUCACAAUUGCAUGGCAAAAUCAUAGAAAGAGGCAUAGCAUGCAAAGUGAACACGGGAAAAUGGACAUAACAUAACAAGUGAUAUAUAGCCCAAAGCCGUGUGAGAGCCAAGUAAAAGGAAUGCGCGAAGUAAUUGCGCGAAGGGGAUGGUGGGAAGGACAAUCCACGGGAUCCCAAGUCAUCUUUGCUCUCAAGAGCUCGUUUCGUCAACUCAUGGGAUUGUGAGGUUGAUGAGUGUUCAUAAGUACCUACACAAAACAAAGACGAAGGGAAAAUUGUGUGUGCGUGGUAGAUGUAUACAUCAUCCAUCAUGAUGCAUACGUGCUUGUGUCGGUUAGCACAAAAUAGCCAAUGCUCAAAUAAAUGAGAUGCGUGAUAUAGAAACAUGUCAUCCAUCAUGAUAGGUUUGGUAUUAUGUAUAGCAUAAUGGAGACUCAAAUUGUGUAAAGCAUCACAAGAAAUGUCUAGAGCAUUGUUAUGAAUGGUAUGCAUAUGGUGCAAGCAAUUAUGGGAAUCAUGCAAAGUAUGGAAUGCAUCCAGAUCUCCUAAUAUGUAUGAGGAAACUAUGGAGGUCUCCUCAUGAGCAUUAGUGGAAACAUCACAUGGAGAAUAUUGACAACAUCCAAAAUAAUGCAUAUUUGGAAAAAUGUGAUCAUGUCAUGGUAUAGUAGAUGAAUUGCGCAAAUCAUGUAAAGGAAGCAUGGAAAUAUCAUCACAUGAAAAACAAAAGCCAAUGACCAUCAUCUCGUCAUCUAUGCCAUAAGUGCAAAUGGGAUGUAUUUUAAUGGGGCAUGCAUAGUUACUAUGUUGAGAUUGAAAUGAAGCAAUAUGGGAGAUCUCACUUAUAGCAUAUGACAAGUUCAAUGGAUUGUCAAACAUGAAGUGACCAAUAGAAUUUUCACAUGAUAUCCUAUGGAGCAUAGCAUCACAACUAGGCAACUCAACAUGCUCAUCAUCAUAUUCAUCAUAAAUUGGUAAGUCAUGACAUGAAGAAGUCGCACUAGCAUGAAGCAUGGGAAUAGGUGGAUCAACAUCAUGCAAGCAAUCAUUGGGAAAAUAGUCCAUUAGUGGGACAAGAGAAGCACUAUCACCUAUGUUACCUUUGGAGCGUAGCUCAUGUGUUGUAGGUGAGGUUGCAACUUGAUGGUACCAUGUGGGGGGGUUCAUCAUCGUCCACCAUGGCCAUCGGUUUUCCCAUUGGAGGUAUGGACUCGUCGAGGAUAGGCGUGUCGUCAUGUAGGAGACCUAGCACCAAAGAAGAAAACAUACUAGGUGUAGAGGUUAAGUCAUUAGAAAUCAUAGUGGCCCCACAUGCCAUGUCAACUACCUCACUCACUAAGUGUUGUGGCUCACUCACUCCCAAGAUGAUGCUCUCACUCGUAUGGUUGGUGGAGUCACUCAAAUGGCUCCCAAUAUGAUGCUCUCACUCGUAUGUGUGGCAUGCUCUCAAGUGUGGGGCUAGUGGUGGUCACACUCAUCCUCUCAUAGGAAAUGCUCUCCUCAGAUGGCAAUUGGGUCAUCUCAUGAUAUGUGGGUGUCGGAGAGAUGUUGGUGCAAAUGUCUCCAUGCUCAACUCCAAUCGCCGCCUUGGUUGAAGGGAUAGUCCCAUGCUCAACCUUCUUGUCGCCGUCUUGUUGUUGGAGGCCCAUAUGAUGUGGCACCUCGUAGCUCGUCUCCAUGACCGAAGGGAAUUUCCCAUGCUCGGCCAUCUUCCUUGAGGGGCUUCCGAAGAUGGAAGUGUCGCCCUCGCUUGUAGGUGGUCGCCUUGUUGUUGAAGAUGUUGAUGUAGGCGAACUCAUGCGAAGUAGGCGAAGAUGCCGUACGUCCAAAGGCGAAGAUGCCUUCAUAGCACUUGGCGAAGAUGCCGAAGUGGUUGUUGUCGCCGUAGCUCCGUCUUGGUGGUGCUCGUCUCGCGGUCUUCUCUUAUGCUCUUGAAGCGUGGCCUUGGCGUGAAGUAGGGCUUGUUCGGACUUAUGCAUUUGCGCUUGUGGAGCAUCUUCAUGUUGAUGUUGUCGUUGUCGCACUUGAGCUCGUAGUAGAUGUCGUUCGUCGUCGUCGUGCACAUGAUGCUUGGAGGUGACUUGCCCUUCAUGACGAUGUUGGCGAUGGUCGCCAUGGAGAUGUGGACGUGGACGACUUGCGCUUGCAUCUUGUUUGCGCUCCGAAGAUGAUCGACUUGCUCGCCGCCGCCUUGAGGAUGAUGAAGGGGAAGAAGACUUGUAGUCGGCCACCAUGUCGCGUAGUUGAUCCUUUAGCUCGCCCAACUUGGUGUCGAUGUAGUCCCUUUUCCUUGCUUCGGAGUGGUGUAUGUCGAUGGCGAGGUUGUCGAGGCGCUCUCGCAAGGUAGAUUGUGUUCCUUGCAUUUGUCGUUGUAGAUCGAAGAUGGGCGCUUUGGUGAUGUAGUUGUUCACGCCGUCGUUGUUGUCGAAGACCGGAGAUGAAAUGCCUUGCCUAUCCAUCACAAGACUCGAGCAAAUAUGAGUGGGAGAAAGAGAAGAACUUAUACCAAAUGUACCUUGACCGAUGUUGAAGAUGGAUCAAUGAUCACUCAAUGUGUAACAAGGAAAUAGCACAAUUGGUACCAAUUCUUGUCGGUUUCUCACACCUACACAAAUAAGGCUUAUGGUGGAGCUUGGUGAGGAUAGUGGCACAAAAAUUUGAUGCAAAAUGUUAGCAAGAGUCAAUAAUGUUGAAAGAGAUUCACAAAUUCGCAAGUGAAACAAGUAGACCAAUAGCAAAGAAUGGCACGCGGAAACACACACACGGAUAGAUAAAUGGGGUCGUGCAACCAAGAAAUGAGCACAAAAUGUGGAGUCCACGGAAAACGCUCGUGUUGCACAACUCAAGAGAGACGCUAGCACGAUUGCUCUAUAGGCGGAUACGACACUUGUGCACAACCUAUGAUAUGCAAAAUGGAUAAACUUCUAUCCCAAGUAUGCUAUGUAUGUAUGGUUCCCGAUGUUUCUCUCAAGAUGAUCCAAGAUGAUCAGAUAUGACAAUCUUAUAUGCAAUGUGGUAUGAUGCUAUGGCACUUGCUUACGAGUUAUUUGCUCUUUCUCUUUUGCUUAAAAGCUUAUUGUUUUAUUUUGUAUGGCCACUUUGCGAAAUGCACAAACCAAGAUAGCAAUUGUGUAUAUGCGGGAACAAACUUGAGGCACACGAGAUGAUAUGAUACCAAUAUGAUAUGGUAUGUAUGCAAUGGAAGUUGUAGACCACUAAUGUGCACAAGUAACGUUGCCGGCAAUACUCAAAUGGCUAGUCUCGAUAGGCAAGUGACGCAAAAUGGGCUAUGGGUUAUCAAUGCAAUUGCAAGGGGAAUAUACAAUGGAGGGAUACCACGAUACCAAGAUGAUAUGGAGGUUACCGUCCGAGGCGAUGAUGAGUGGCGGUGUUCUUGAUGUAGAUACCAAGAUGAUGGAGACUCGUCCCUAAGUAGCCGAAACACCUUAGGAAACGGAAAAACCGCGAACUCAAAAUCUCAAAUGUCAAAUGUCAAAAUGGUGGUAGAGGGAAUGCGGUGGUGGUUUUGCGGAAACUCAAAGGGAUUGCGGAAAUGCAAUGAUGGGGUUUGGAGAACGCAAUGCGGAAGUGUAGGGUAAGGUGGUGAACUAUACACGAUGUCGGGGUUGGAAGCACGUCCCUAAGUAGCCGAAACACCUUAGGAGACACAACUCACAACACAAACAAAAUUGGGUUAUAUGGAGUGGUGGAAGUGUAUGGUGGGUAAGCCUAUACGGAAGUUAUAGUGGUGGUUGAUGAAGAAGCAACCGUCCCUAAGUAGCCUAAACACCUUAGGAGACUCGAAUCACAACUCAAACAACCACAAGUGCUAUGGGGAACAAAAUUGGUGAGGUUGCGGAAGUCGGUGGUGGUUAUGCGGAAAUUAUGGUGGAAGCCCUAGGCAAAGAUGCCAAAGUUGUCAAAAUUUGAUGGAGUCAAAUGGGGAUGGGACCUAUCUAGGUGGAUAGAGGAUGUCAAUAGCUACUCAACGAGCUAAAGAACGCGAAAAUCGGACUCCGGAUGUGGAAGUUAUGCACAAAACGGUGAAACGGUGAUGCCUGAAAUGUACAGGGGUCGGACAUCCCGGGCUUUGGCCGGAUUUCCGGGACCUGAUGUCCAGAACCGCGCGCGAAAAUGCGCUCCAGGAGCCGGAUGUUCGGGGCACGGGCCGGAUGUCCGGGGGGCCAAAUGUCCGGGGCUAUGGGCCGGAUGUCCGGGCUCCAAAUCCGAGGAUGAACUCGAGGAACUCGAUUUUGGGGCGGAAAUUGAUGAUUUCAAGGGCAAAAUUGGAGAGAUUUCGUGGAUAGAAAGUGGGGAAAAUUGGGGGAAAGCUAGAUCCACUAGUAACAAAGCAAAUUCAUGGAUCAAAAUCAACAAAACAUCAUCAAACCAACAAAUCACAAAAAAUUUGGGGCUAUUUUUGGUGGGGAUUUUCGAAAUUGGGGAAGAAAUCAACAAAACUAGGCUAGAAAACACAACGGGGAGGCUCCGAAAUCGUGAUCAACGUGGCUCAUGAUACCAAGAUGAUGUAGGGUGGAACCCUAGAUGGCCGAUCUUUCACGAAAGGAGCGGAUCCAAACUAAGAACACGAAGAACACGAGGGGAAACACAAGAGAAUCACUCAAACCAACAAGAUUCGAUUACACAUGCGCUAGAUUCAAGAACAAAAAGGGAGAUACACGAUCCACGAUCAACAAAGGACGAUACAAAGGGUAACCGGUUCUUCUCCGUGAGGAGUACUUGAUGGGGGUCUUCUCCGUGAGGAGGUCUUGAAUCCAAGGUGGAUCGUCUCCGUAGAGGGGCCGCGGUCUCUCUCAUGGAGUAGAUCCGAUAUGGAUGAGCAAAGCUCUAUCUCUAAAUGAGCUAAACCAAUGCUAACCCUAGAAAGAGGAAGGGGAUGGAGUAUAUAUAGUCUAGGGGGGCGAAGAGGUACAUGGGCUUCGGCCCUUUACUGUGCGCAGACAGACGGAGCCGGAUGUCCGGGCGUCGGGCCGGAUGUCCGGGGCUUCAGGAGGGGCCGGAUGUCCGGGCUGUGGGCCGGAUGUCCGGGCUGACGGUGCAAACUUCUGUAGUCUCUGGAUAGGCGGGGUCGGAUGUCCGGGAUGGGGGCCGGAUGUCCGGCGGCUCGGGAAGAGCCAGAUGUCCGGGCCACUGGCCGGAUGUCCGGGCUGACGUGGUUCAGCUUCGGGUGCCUUCUGCGAUGGGCGCCGGAUUUCCGGGCUGGUGCCGGAUGUCCGGGCUUGCGGGAGUGGCCGGAUGUUCGGGGCCUGGCCGGAGGUCCGGGUCCUGUAGCCUUUCUCCGGCUCCUCUCGUCGUGCUCCUUCAUCCUUGUACUUGGGGACUUGUCCAUCAUUCCGAGCAUCUCCGAGAGGGUCUCCUUGGUACCUAGGCAUAUGUAUUGUCCUUGCAUUAGGUAGCAACCAUGUCUCACAUGAAUGGAAAGGAGAAGCGUUUAGGAGCGGGUUCACCUUAGGUCCAAAGGCGUAGGCUCGAGUGUACAUGGGGAUGAUCGCAGGAUGCUCCGCAUCAUGAGCCCACCGCAGCGUCACGACCAGAAGCUUUGCAGGCGAAGACUACUUUUGUCAGGAUAAGACGUACUAGUUGUCUCCCUUCGAAUUUGGCCGUUGUGGGAACCCUUCCCGCCUUCAUUUGGAAAGAGGACCAAGGCCGCUAUAAAUAGGACCUAGCCACCACCAUGAAGGGGGGGUCAUUUCAUAUCAUCCUCUCCCACACCAGCUCAAGAACACGCCUCCUGAGGUCGUUCUCCCACUGUACUACUUUAUCCUCAGCUCCUCGAGGCCAAUCCACCACAAAGCAGGAGUAGGGUUCCACACCGCAAGGUGGCCCGAACCUGGGUAAACUGUUGUUUCCCAUUUUGAUGCGGAGCAUCCUAUGGACAUCACCAUGUCAAGAGUUCGUUUGGCAAGUGACACAUGCGACAUCUACUUCACAUACACAAAGGUGAAUCAUCUCCUUUACACGUGCUCACUUGACCCCUUCGAGGAUGGUAUACUACUUGACACUCCACUCGUGUGCAUGCAUAGGUAUUGUUGGAACACUACGGACGACGAGGAGGAGUGCAAGCGCCAAGGAACAACUACACCAUCCGCGAGGGAAGCCUGGAAGCGACGACGGAAGAAGACGGAGCUGCUGAAGCUACAGCAGCCGGACAUCCGGGCCAAGGGCCGGACAUCCGGCGCCUGUGCAGCCGCCAAGGAGCUGCACCAACAGACGGCCAACAGCAUCAGCGGCCGGACAUCCGGCGCCAGCCCCGGACAUCCGGCGCCUCGCCAAAGCCCGGACAUCCGGCCCUUCCCCCGGAAAUCCGGCAUCGACGACAGAACGCACCCGAAGUUUGGCCACUUCAGCCCGGACAUCCGGCCCGAGCUCCGGACAUCCGGCGCCUCGCGAAGCCUCGGAUAUCCGGCCCCCAGCCCGGACAUCCGGCGCCUGCCUGCGCGCAGCCACGGGCCAGAGGCCCAUGUAUCCCUUUCCCGCUUACCCUUUCGUGACUUAGACUAUAAAUAGACCACCUCCUCCUCCAUUCUAGGGUUAGCAUUGAUUUAGCUCAUUUAGAGAUAGAGCUUUGCUCAUCCAUAUCGGAUCUACUCCACGAGAGAGACCGCGGCCCCUCUACGGAGACGAUCCACCUUGGAUUCAAGACCUCCUCUUGGAGAAGACCCCCAUCAAGACCUCCUCACGGAGAAGAACCGGUUACCCUUUGUAUCGUCCUUUGUUGGACUUGGAUCUUACCUUUGUGUUCAUCGAUCUAGCGCAUGUGUGAUCUAUUCUUGUUGGUUGAGUGAUUUCUCUCGUGUUCCCCUCGUGUUUCCCUCGUGUUUCCCCUUGUGUUCAUCACGUUCUUCAUAGGGAUCCGCUCCUUUCGUGAAAGAUCGGCCAUCUAGAGUUCCGCCCUACAUCAUCUUGGUAUCAUGAGCCACGUUGAUCACGAUUUCGGAGCCUCCCCGUUGUGUUUUCUAGCCUAGUUUUGUUGAUUUCUUCCCCAAUUUCGAAAAUCCCCACCAAAAAUAGCCCCAAUUUUUUUUGUGAUUUGUUGGUGUGAUGAUGUUUUGUUGAUUUUGAUCCAUGGAUUUGCUUGGUUUCGAGUGGAUCUAGCUUUCCCCCAAUUUUCCCCACUUUCCAUCCACGAAAUCUCUCCAAUUUUGCCCCCGAAAUCAUCAAUUUCCGCCCCCAAAAUCGAGAUCCUCGAGUUCAUCCUCGGAUUUGGAGCCCGGACAUCCGGCCCGUAGCCCCGGACAUCUGGCCCCCUAGACAUCCGGCCCGUAGCCCGGACAUCCGGCUCCUGGAGCACAUUUUCGCGCAAUGUUCUAGACAUCAGGUCCCGGAAAUCCGGCCCGAGCCCCGGAUGUCCGGCCCCUGGCAUUUCAGCUUUUCCGUUUCACCGUUUUAUGCAUAACUUCCACAUCCGGAGUCUGAUUUUCGCGUUCUUUAGCUCGUUGAGUAGCUAUUGACAUCCUCUAUCCAUCUAGAUAGGUACCAUCCCCAUUUGAAUCCAUCAAAUUUUGACAACUUUGGCAUCUUUGCCUAGGGCUUCCACCACAACAUCCGCAUAACCACCACCGAUUUCCGCAACCUAACCAAUUUUGUUCCCCUUAGCAUUUGAGGUUGUUUGAGUUGUGAUUUGAGUCUCCUAAGGUGUUUCGGCUACUUAGGGAUGAUUGCUUCUUCAUCAACCGCCACCAUAACUUCCGCAUAGGCUUACCCACCAUACACUUCCACCAACCCAACUUAGCCCAAUUUUGUUUGUGUUGUGAGUUGUGUCUCCUAAGGUGUUUCGGCUACUUAGGGACCGUGUUUCGAACUCCGACACCGUGUAUAGUCCAUCCACCUUACCCCCGACUUCCGCAUUGCGUCUCAAAACCCAUCAUUGCAUUUCCGCAAUCCCAUUGAGCUUCCGGAAAACCACCACCGCUUACACUACCACCGUUUGACUUUUGUCCUUGAGAUUUUGAGUUGUGGUUUUUCCGUUUCCUAAGGUGUUUCGGCUACUUAGGGACGAGUCUCCAUCAUCUUGGUAUCUACAUCAAGAACACCGCCACUCAUCAUCGCCAACGACGGUAACCUCGACGACACCAUUGUAUAUUCCCCUUGCAAUUGCAUUGAUAACCCCUAGCCCAUUUUGCGUCACUUGCCUAUCGAGACUAGCCAUUUGAGUAUUGUCGGCAACGUUACUUGUGCACAUUAGUGAUCAUACUUCCCAUAGCAUACAUACCAUACCAUAUUGGUAUCAUAUCAUCUCUUGUGUCACAAGUUUGUUCCCACAUACACACUAUUGCUAUCUUGGUUUGUGCAUUUUGCAAAGUGGCCAUACAUACAAAAAAAGAAGAAUAAGCUUUUAAGCAAAAAAAAGAAGAGCAAAGAAGCUUGUAAGCAAGUGCCAUAGCAUCAUCCCACAUUGCAUAAGAUUGUCAUAUCCGAUCAUCUUGGAUCAAACACCGGGAACCAUACAUACAUAGCAUACUUGGGAUAGAAGUUUAUCCAUUUUGCAUAUCAUAGGUUGUGCACAAGUGUCGUAUCCGCCUAUUGCGCAAUCGUGCUAGCGUCUCUCUUGAGUUGUGCAACACGAGCGUUUUCCGUGGACUCCACAUUUUGUGCCCAUUCCUUGGUUGCACGACCCCAUUUAUCUAUCCGUGUGUGUGUUUCCGUGUGCCAUUCUUUGCUAUUGGUCUACUUGUUUCACUUGCGAAUUUGUGAAUCUUUUUCAACAUUAUUGACUCUUGCUAACAUUUUGCAUCAAAUUUUUUGUGCCACUAUCCUCACCGAGCUCCACUAUAAGCCUUACUUGUGUAGGUGUGAGAAACCGACAAGAAUUGGUACCAAUUGUGCUAUUUCCUUGUUACACAUUGAGUGAUCAUUGAUCCAUCUUCAACAUCGGUCAAGGUACAUUUGGUAUCGUUCUUCUCUUUCUCCCACUAAUAUUUGCUCGAGUCUUGUGAUGGAUAGGCAAGGUAUUUCACCUUCGGUCUACAACAACAACGACAAGUUCGAUGCCACGAACAACUCCAACGACGCCAAGAUGCAAGCUCAAAUGGAGGAGAUCCAGUCCCUCAUCAAGUCCUACAAGCGAUCUUCCUCAUCUUUGAGAAGACGCUCAAGAGCACAUGCCUCCGAGCUACCAUCUCCGGCAUGGUCACAUCGGCAUCGACACCAUCACCACCACGAACGUGAAGGUCAAGAGCUCUACACCAACAACCGCUCAACGCCUUCACCAUCUCCCUUGGCAUCUUCGCCAAGCGUCUUCAAGGCAUCUUCGCCUACGGAUAUACGGCAUCUUCGCCAACAAGCACCUCAAGACUACGCUCAAGAGAAGCUCCCCAAGCUCAAGUCCGCGACUUCCACAAGCUACUACGACCUCGACACCGACCAUGAGAUUCCUUUCUAUGGGACUCAAGAACCCGAGGAGUAUCUCGAGUGGGAGCACCUAAUGGACGACUACCUCAAGCUACAUCAAGUUCCUCCCGAAGAUCAAGUGAAGUGCGCCACAAGAAACUUCCACGACUACGCCUCGACAUGGUGGCUUCUCACACCUUCGGAGACCUACGAAAUGAGUUGGCCCAAGACGAAGAGAGCUUUGCGGCAAGAGUUUGUGCCUCCAACCUACACGGAACAACUUCUACACCAAUUGGAGAACACCAACCAAGGAUCCAAGUCCAUCGACGCGUACUUCAAGGAGAUGAAGAUUGCCUUGCGACGAGCCGGCGUGGACGACCCCAUGUCAAUGAAGUUCCACUUCAUGAUGGGAUUGAACAACGACAUCUCCAAGACUAUCUUCCUCGAGAACUACAAGUCCCUCGACGACAACUACAUUGGUGCUCUCAAGGCGGAACAAGAACGCAUGAAGGCCAAGGCUUCUCCACCCCAAGCACACUUCUCGAAGACCAAGCUCAAAGACGACGAGCAUGAGUCUAGUACCACCAAGAUGUCCAAGCCGGACGAGCUCCAAGACGAUGCUCCCAAGUUCGACUUCACCGCCAUCCCUCUUUGUGGCAUUGAUGAUGCCGAGUCCUCCACGACUCUUUUCAAGAUGGUGCGGCGACGAGUACGACUACGGAGACCUUCAAGGACCAAGCUUUUGAGGCAAGCGACAUGGUGACGAGCAAGGAUGAUGCUUCCAUCUUAGGAGGCGAGAGCGAUGAUGUGCCAUCUUCGGCUUUCAUCCACGGCGACGGCGAUGAGAUGGUUGAGUAUUUCACUUCGACCACGGCGACGUAUGAUGACUUGAGUGACUUGUGCCACCAUAUUGAGAGUGAGAGUGACUUCACCACUAGCCCCAUAUCCGAUGUGUUGCCCCAAUUCCCAUGUGAGGAGAGCCACAACCCCCACCACUUGAGUGAGAUGAGUGACUCCACCAUACGUGCGAUUGAGUGCACCUACUUUGAGGGCGUGAGUGAACCACCACAUAGAGAGAGUGAGGAGAUUUUGAACUCUAACGACUUAACCUCUACCUCUAUUGUGUCUUCUCAUUUGGUGCUAGGUCCCAUAUAUGAUGACGCGCCGAUUCGCGACGACUUCGUCCUUCCUAUGGACAUGACGAUGGCCAUGGUGGAAUAUGAUGCACCCCCCACAUGGUUCCAUCAAGAUGAAGAUGACCACCAUUUGGUCUUUCCCACCUCACCUACACCACUUGAUUGGAAUGACAAAGGUAACAUAGGUGACGGUGAUGCUCUAGUCCCACUAGUGGACAUUUUUGACAUUGAUUGCUUGCAUGAUGUUGAUCCACCUAUUACCUUGCUUCAUGCUAGUGAGAUUUCCCAAUGGGAUGAUUUACCCAUUUAUGAUGAGUAUGAUGAUUGCCAUGUGGAGUCUAUUAGUUGUGAUGCCAUGUUACAUAGGAUUUCUUGUGACAAUUCUUUAGGUCACAUCAUGUUUAACAACCCGCUUGACUUGUCAUAUACUAUGCAUGAGAUCAACAAUAUGUCAUAUUUGCAAUCUCUUCAUAGUGACUAUGCAUAUGCCAUUAAAAUAAACCCAAUUUGCACUUAUGGCAUAGAUGACAAGCCCAUGGUUAUUGGCAUUUGUUUCUCUUGUGAUGAUAUUGAUAUGCUCCCUUUGCAUCAUUUAUCUCAUAUGCCAUGCCAUGACCACCUAGCUUCGGAUAUGCAUUGUUUUGGAUGUUGUCCAUUUUCUCCAUAUGAUGUUUCCAAUAUUGCUCAUGAGGAGACCCCCAUAGUUUCCUCAUACAUUUUAGGAGAUUUUGAUUCAUCCUAUCCAUUGCAUGAUCCUAGUAAUUAUGUGCACAAUAUGCUCCCCAUGAAUCAUAAUGAUAUUGUUGUGCCAUAUACUAGUAUGCGCAAUUUGCAUCCCCAUCGUGUCAUACAUAACAACUAUUCUUCAUGAUGGAUGACAUGUUCUUAUACCAUGCAUCAAAUUUCUUUGAGCGAUGCUUAUCUUGUGCUAACACUCACUUGCACAUACACAUCAUGAUGGAUGAUGCGUACAUUUACCACGCGCACAGUUUCUUUGGUUUGUGUCUCUUUUGUGUAGGUAACCAUGAAUACUUGUCAACCGGGCAAUCCCACGAGUUGACAAAACGAGCUCUAGAGAGCAAUGAUGACUUGGGAUCCCAUGGAUUGCCUUUCCCACCGCUCACUUCGCGCAAACACUUCGCGCAUUUCUUUUACAUGGCCCUCACAUGGUUAUGGGUUGUUGUCCAUUAUAUAUCCUUUGCCCAUCUUGCCAUGUUCACUUUGCAUGAUAUGCCCAUUACUAUGCCUUUGCCAUGCAUUUGUGACCCAUGCUUUGCAUUACACAUGAUGAUUGAUUCUAGUACUUGUAUGUGUAUUUGCAAGCGUGGUGGAGAUAUUGUUUGUUAUUGCCAUGAUUGCUUUGUGCCCCAUGCCUAUGAUGAUACUAUGAUCUUGAUUUGUGUUCGUGCUUGCGAUAUGUCAGGUACAUUGCCUAUGCCUAUUCUUUGCUCACAUGACAUGAUUGCCAUGAUUUCCUCUAGUGUGUUGCAUCUUCGCUCCACUAGUUUGCACGACUUGAUUAUUAUUGCAUGCCUUGUUGCAUCACCAAUGAUUUAUACUUGCUCACUUCAUGCGGUUGAUGACAACUAUCUACAUGCUUUGCACAUGAUUGUUAUUGCUUCUUGUCAUAUCUCUCCAUAUGUUGCCUCUAUCAUGAUAGAUGAUUUGCAUGUAUUGAGUGCAACAAUGCUAUUAGUCUUGCUUAUGAGUUUGCCCCCAUAGCAUUCUCACAUAUGAUUGGAGAUUUUGACAUAUUUCUUGUGAAGCAUGCUUGUCUUACCUGUUUGCACCAUAUACCUAGUGCCAUGAAUAUUGCCAUUGUUGCAUCAUAUUAUUCAUGCACUUGUGCUUCUAAUGGUUAUGUGCAAGAGAAGAGAACCAUCAUGAUGGAUGAUGUGUUUAUCUACCAUGCGCAUACGUUCUUUGUUUUGUUGUGUGCAUGUGUAGGAUUCUUGGACUUUGUGUCGACUUCCGCCUCACGUGAGUUGACCAUUCGAGCUCUUGAGAGCGAGCCUCAUACAUUCUACCACGACUUGCUUCUACACCGCUUUUGCUUGCGUUUCGGCAUUGUGAAGGACGCACAAGGACGCGCCUUCAAGGUGACAUCUUUCUUGAGCAUGGAUAUUAUGGAUCAUACUACUUGUGUUGCUUGCACCAUGAAACUUAUUGUUCAUCUUGGACCACUUGAUUGCACACAUGUUAGACAUCUUGCUUCAACUUGUUAUUUUCACCGUUCCAUGCAUCAUGAUAUAUAUGCCUUGUGUGUUGCAUCCGAUUCUUGGAUUACUUGCUCCUAUCACAUGUUUCGUUGCAACAAUGUCAUCACUUCACAUAUGCCAUGUCUCAUUGAUUGCUACAUGCUUGACUUGAUUGCCUCGCACAUGAGGAACAAUUGCUCUUUCUACUGUGUUGAGUGCCACACAAUAUUCACCACACCCCAUGCACGUUACGCUUGGAUUGCCUUGCACUUGACCCAUAUGUUUAGACAUCUCAUCUUAUUUGGUGUUGUGAAUGAUUCAUAUGCCUACCAUAGACCUUUCAUUGAGCAAUUUGUGAAUGCUUGCUCUGAACUUGAGGCAGAUGCUUAUUCUCUUGACACACAUAUUUGCAUCUCUACCUCCCAUUUACAUGCUUGUCCCCAUUUACAAACUGAAGUAGUCAAUAGAACAUUGUCUACUAUGCUUAGGGCUGUUUUAAAGAAUAAUAAGAAAAUGUGGGAAGAAUGCUUGCCUCAUAUUGAGUUCGCUUAUAAUCGUUCAUUGCAUUCUACUACUAAGAUGUGCCCUUUUGAAAUUGUGUAUGGUUUCCUACCUCGUGCACCUAUUGAUUUGUUGCCUCUUCCAUCUUCGGAGAAGGUUAAUUUUGAUGCUAAACAACGUGCUGAAUUGAUCUUAAAAAUGCAUGAGUUAACUAAGGAAAACAUUGAGCGUAUGAAUGCUGAAUAUAAACUUGCUGGAGAUAAGGGUAGAAAACAUGUUGUGUUUGCACCUGGAGAACUUGUUUGGUUACAUUUGAGUAAGGAUAGAUUUCCUGAUUUGCGCAAAUCAAAGCUAAUCCCACGUGCUGAUGGUCCUUUUAAGGUGUUAGAGAAAAUAAAUGAUAAUGCAUAUAAACUUGAGCUGCCUGUAGAUUUUGGGGUUAGUCCCACUUUAACAUUGCAGAUUUGGAGCCUUAUUUGAGUGAGGGAGAUGAGCUUCCGUCGAGGACGACUUCAUUUCAAGAAGGGGAGGAUGAUGAGGACAUCAAUACCAUUGUUACACCCACAGCCCCUGCUGCUAUACAUACUGGACCAAUUACUAGAGCUCGCGCACGCCAAUUAAAUUACCAGGUACUUUCGUUUCUUGGUAAUGAUUCUAAUGUUCAUGAGAAUAUGAUGCUGCCUAAAUUGGAUACAUUUGUUUUGCUUACAAAUGAAGGGCCUAGCUUUGAGAAGGAUGAACAUUGGAGCAAGAACAAGCAUGGAGAUGAUGGCAUGCGCAUGGGGAACAAGAACGGAGUUACAAGUGAUGAUUUCAGGACGUUGAAGCCACCAUAAUGCGUGCAUGAAGCCUUGGACGAAAUAUACAAGAUGCUACUUCACAACUUUCGUCCAGAUGCUAUUAUAGGUGCUGCGUCACCUUAUUAUUGGGCCAGGCCCAUGUAAUUUCGAAAUACUUGAGUAUAGGCUGUUUUUAGAGGCCGUAUGUGUGGGGAAACAAGAGAUAGGGUUGGUUUCGGACCCCUUCCCCAAGGGCCACGAAAUUCCCCCCUCUUCCUCCAUAUAUACAGCCCUUAGGGCGUCGUUUAGACUUUGGGUUUUGUUUAGAUUAAAAGUUCGCCAUAGCUGCAACUUCGCGUACUUCGUUUGUGUUCAACGACCAGACAAAGGCGUCACAGAACCCCACCUUGAUCAAUAAAGCUUUCAUCUUAUAUUCGCAAUAUCCAGAUUGCAAUCUCAGUUUCUUGCUUGUUCUUCGUUUGCUCGCAGGAAACAGACCCUCGUGGUCAGGUUGAUCGUGCUCCGGCGUGGUCAAUAACCUCUCGGAGUUGGUUUAGCAAUUGCUAAGGCGCGACGUCAUCGCACGUUCGUAGUCGGAUCGUCAAAGUCGACUUCCACCAAAGCGAUAUCCAUCAUCUCAUCGAAAGACGGGACACCUUUGCCUCUAUCAAGUGGUAUCAGAUUUCCAGGUUGCUCGGUGAGAUUUUACAGUUUUUCGUAGUUUAGAUCGAGUUUGUUCUUCAUACCUAUAGUCCACGAAAAAGCCAAAAAAAAUUUAGGGUUAGUUCAUCCUAUCCAAACCAAUCUGAGCCUUUGCAUAAUCUUUUCUAUGUUUGCUUUGUUGAAUUUGCGGUUGCAUUGUCGUGUCAAGUUGCUGGUCUUAGCGUCUAGUCCUUUAGAGUUUCGAGUUCUGUUCACAGGUUGUCACGUCGCCGCUGCCAUAUAUCACCACCGCAUCAUCAUCAUCGCUGCUGCCAUAUACCACCACCGCACCAACUUCAUCGCCGCUGCCAUAUACCACCACCACAUAUUCACCGCCAAUCCGAGUCCAUAUACGCCACCACAUAUCCGCCGCCAUCACGCCACUCCGAGUACACCUGCAACAUAUAUCUGCCACCAGUCCGAGUUCCACCAGAUUCAUCUCCGCCACCAGUCCGAGUUCCACCAGAUUCAUCUCCGCCACCAGUCCAAGUCCAGUAUUUUGUUACUCUGUUUUGGAUUUCCAGAUCACGCCAUACUCCGAGUCGUGACAGAGAAGGACUCCCAAACUUUUAUGUUACCCGCAGUAGAAAAAUAGUUCCAGUUUCAAAAAAAACUAAGUCUGGAAAAUUCUGGCUAGGCAGUUUUUAGACCAUUUGUAGACUUUUUCGAAAAAAAUUGUUGCGGAGCAAAAAAAAAGUGCAAUUUUUUUUUCAGAGUGUGCUCCUCCCUUGUUUACGUGCAGCGCCGUGAUUUUGUUAGUGUUCUAGGCUCGCGUCUCUAGCACGGUCUAGCCUAGGACCAGCACAGUACCGUCGUUGAGCGUUUAUUCAACUUUGCAUAUCUGAAUUGAUUAUUGCUGACCCUUUUUGCUACCAUAUUAUAAGCCUUCCCAGCUCCACAUACAUCUACGUCGUGCGUUUGACUCUCCCUGGUAAUCGCUCUAUCCAAGCUUUGAGAGUUUUGCCUACAACGGUUGCCGAUCACCACCUGCUGCUGGGUAAGAACUGGUAAAAAUUUGAGAUUCGCUUGAAGGAUUUGUGACACACCACCAUCACCACCACUUCCUAGUAGUCUGUAGGAUCAUAUUCUUUUGUGUUUCUAUUGCUGCUCACCAUGGCAGGAUCACAAGCCGAUGAGACUAAUUGGGAGAACAUGACGAACAAGGGGUUGCAUGAUAAAUUUCAGCAAAUGAUGAGUGGCCAGGUGGGAGAUGUGCUAAACAGAUUUGAAGAGGCUAUGGAGAAGAUAGAUGCCGUGGAGAAGUCGUUUGAGACAAAGCUGGAUAACAGGUUUAAUGAAUUGCUCAAGCGUCUUCCCCAACCACCACCGGCUGCACCUGUCGCACCUCUACAACAACAACAACCACAUCUCCAAUGCCGCCUUCCAAAUCAAGUGGGACGAGCACAGCGUGUUCCAAUUGAGAAUAACUUUGCUUCCUAUGACUCCUGAUUCCAUUUUGAAAGAUGACAUUAAUAGAGCUAAUAAAGCAAAACAGGAGAAAAAUAAGAGUGAAAAUCAGAUUGUGGCAAAAGAAUUUGAGCAACAAAUGAAACCUAAUAAUAAACCAUCUAGUGUUGUUUCUGAAAUUAAAUUGAAAAGUGCAUGUUUACUUGCCACAAAAUAUGAUAUUGAUGAGCUAGAUUUCAGCAAAUCUGUUUGCUAUGCUUUUGUGUGCAAAGAGGCAUUAUUUUCAUUCGAGGACGUGCCUUCCUCUUUGCCCCCUGCUGUCACUAACAUUUUGCAGGAGUUCGCUGACGUCUUCCCACAAGACGUGCCACCGGGAUUACCACCUAUUCGAGGGAUUGAGCAUCAAAUUGAUUUAAUUCCCGAUGCAUCGCUACCCAACCGUGCACCGUACCGUACCAAUCCAGAGGAGACGAAGGAGAUUAUGCGUCAAGUACAGGAGCUGCUCGACAAAGGUUAUAUACGCGAAUCUCUUAGUCCUUGUGCUGUUCCUAUUAUACUAGUGCCUAAAAAGGAUGGUACGUCGCGUAUGUGUGUUUAUUGUAGAGGCAUUAAUAAUAUUACUAUUCGUUAUCGUCAUCCUAUUCCUAGGCUAGAUGAUAUGCUUGAUGAAUUGAGUGGCUCUACAAUAUUCUCCAAAGUUGAUUUGCGUAGUGGAUACCAUCAAAUUCGUAUGAAAUUGGGAGAUGAAUGGAAAACAACAUUUAAAACUAAGUUUGGUUUAUAUGAGUGGUUAGUCAUGCCUUUUGGGUUAACUAAUGCACCUAGUACUUUCAUGAGACUAAUGAAUGAAGUUUUACGUGCUUUCAUUGGAUGAUUUGUGGUAGUCUAUUUUGAUGAUAUACUGAUUUAUAGCAAAUCUUUGGAAGAACAUUUGGAAUAACCAAUUCCGAGAGGUUAUUAACCACGCCGGAGCACGAUAAACCUGACCACGAGGGUCUGUUUCCUGCGAGCAAACGAAGAACAAGCAAGAAACUGAGAUUGCAAUCUGGAUAUUGCGAAUAUAAGAUGAAAGCUUUAUUGAUCAAGGCGGGGUUCUGUGACGCCUUUGUCUGGUCGUUGAACACAAACGAGGUACGCGAAGUUGCAGCUAUGGCGAACUUUUAAUCUAAACAAAACCCAAAGUCUAAACGACGCCCUAAGGGCUGUAUAUAUGGAGGAAGAGGGGGAAUUUCGUGGCCCUUGGGGAAGGGGUCCGAAACCAACCCUAUCUCUUGUUUCCCCACACAUACAGACUCUAAAAAUAGCCUAUUCUCAAGUAUUUCGAAAUUACAUGGGCCUGGCCCAAUAAUAAGGUGACGCAGCACCUAUAAUAGCCUCUGGACGAAAGUUGUGAAGUAGCAUCUUGUAUAUUUCGUCCAAGGCUUCAUGCACGCAUUAUGGUGGCUUCAAUGUCCUGAAAUCAUCACUUGUAACUCCGUUCUUGUCCCCCAUGCGCAUGCCAUCAUCUCCAUGCUUGUUCUUGCUCCAAUAUUCAUCCUUCUCAAAGCUAGGCCCUUCAUUUGUAAGCAAAACAAAUGUAUCCAAUUUAGACAGCAUCAUAUUCUCAUGAACAUUAGAAUCAUUACCAAGAAACGAAAGUACGUGGAAAUUUAAUUGGCGUGCGCGAGCUCUAGUAAUUGGUCCAGUAUGUAUAGCAGCAGGGGCUGUGGGUGUAACAAUGGUAUUGAUGUCCUCAUCACACGACGAUGCAACCGCAAAUUCAACAAAGCAAAAACCCGAAAAAGAUUAUGCAAAGGCUCAGAUUGGUUCGGAUAUGAUGAACUAACCUAAUUUUUUUUUUGUGGCUUUUUCGUGGACUGUAGGUAUGAAGAAUAGACUCGAUCUAAACUACGAAAAACUGUAAAAUCUCACCAAGCAACCUGGAAAUCUGAUACCACUUGAUAGAGGCAAAGGUGUCCCGUCUUUCGAUGAGAUGAUGGAUAUCUCUUUGGUGGAAGUCGACUUUGACGAUCCGACUACGAACGUGUGAUGACGUCACGCCUUAGCAAUCGCUAAACCAACUCCGAGAGAUUAUUGACCACGCCGGAGCACGAUCAACCUGACCAUGAGGGUCUGUUUCCUGCGAGCAAACGAAGAACAAGCAAGAAACUGAGAUUGCAAUUUGGAUAUUGCGAAUAUAAGAUGAAAGCUUUAUUGAUCAAGGUGGGGUUCUGUGACGCCUUUGUCAGGUCGUUGAGCACAAACGAAGUACGCGAAGUUGCAGCUAUGGCGAACUUUUAAUCUAAACAAAACCCAAAGUCUAAACGACGCCCUAAGGGCUGUAUAUAUGGAGGAAGAGGGGGGAAUUUCGUGGCCCUUGGGGAAGGGGUCCGAAACCAACCCUAUCUCUUGUUUCCCCAGACAUACGGACUCUAAAAAUAGCCUAUACUCAAGUAUUUCGAAAUUACAUGGGCCUGGCCCAAUAAUAAGGUGACGCAGCAGCUAGAAUAGCCUCUGGACGAAAGUUAUGAAGUAGCAUCUUGUAUAUUUCGUCCAAGGGUUCAUGCGCGCAUUAUGGUGGCUUCAAUGUCCUGAAAUCAUCACUUGUAACUUCGUUCUUGUCCCCCAUGCGCAUGCCAUCAUCUCCAUGCUUGUUCUUGCUCCAAUGUUCAUCCUUCUCAAAGCUAGGCCCUUCAUUUGUAAGCAAAACAAAUGUAUCCAAUUUAGGCAACAUCAUAUUCUCAUGAACAUUAGAAUCAUUACCAAGAAAUGAAAGUACCUGGUAAUUUAAUUGGCGUGCGCGAGCUCUAGUAAUUGGUCCAGUAUGUAUAGCAGCAGGGGCUGUGGGUGUAACAAUGGUAUUGAUGUCCUCAUCACACGACGAUGCAACUGCAAAUUCAACAAAGCAAAAACCCUAAAAAGAUUAUGCAAAGGCUCAGAUUGGUUCGGAUAUGAUGAACUAACCCUAAUUAUUUUUGUGUGGCUUUUUCGUGGACUGUAGGUAUGAAGAACAGACUCGAUCUAAACUACGAAAAACUGUAAAAUCUCACCGACUAACCUGGAAAUCUGAUACCACUUGAUAGAGGCAAAGGUGUCCCGUCUUUCGACGAGAUGAUGGAUAUCGCUUUGGUGGAAGUCGACUUUGACGAUCCGACUACGAACGUGUGAUGACAUCGCGCCUUAGCAAUCGCUAAACCAACUCCGAGAGGUUAUUGACCACGCCGGAGCACGAUCAACCUGACCACGAGGGUCUGUUUCCUGCGAGCAAACGAAGAACAAGCAAGAAACUGAGAUUGCAAUCUGGAUUUGCGAAUAUAAGAUGAAAGCUUUAUUGAUCAAGGUGGGGUUCUGUGACGCCUUUGUCUGGUCGUUGAACACAAACGAAGUACGCGAAGUUGCAGCUAUGGCGAACUUUUAAUCUAAACAAAACCCGAAGUCUAAAUGACGCCCUAAGGGCUGUAUAUAUGGAGGAAUAGGGGGGAAUUUCGUGGCCCUUGGGGAAGGGGUCCGAAACCAACCCUAUCUCUUGUUUCCCCACACAUACGGACUCUAAAAAUAGCCUAUACUCAAGUAUUUCGAAAUUACAUGGGCCUGGCCCAAUAAUAAGGUGACGCAGCACCUAGAAUAGCCUCUGGACGAAAGUUAUGAAGUAGCAUCUUGUAUAUUUCGUUCAAGGCUUCAUGCACGCAUUAUGGUGGCUUCAAUGUCCUGAAAUCAUCAUUUGUAACUCUGUUCUUGUCCCCCAUGCGCAUGCCAUCAUCUCCAUGCUUGUUCUUGCUCCAAUGUUCAUCCUUCUCAAAGCUAGGCCCUUCAUUUGUAAGCAAAACAAAUGUAGCCAAUUUAGGCAGCAUCAUAUUCUCAUGAACAUUAGAAUCAUUACCAAGAAACGAAAGUACCUGGUAAUUUAAUUGGCGUGCGCGAGCUCUAGUAAUUGGUCCAGUAUGUAUAGCAGCAGGGGCUGUGGGUGUAACAAUGGUAUUGAUGUCCUCAUCAUUUCCAUGGCAAAGGCUCACCAUCAUAAGAGGAGGUGUGAGUCUCACGGGUCCUGCAACAGGCAGCCAAACUCAUACCUUUAAAACUUGCCACAUAUUCAAAGACCUGGUUUUGGAGAUCAUACAUUUGGCUUUAGAGAAAGUUGAUUUGCUCGUUGAAGGUGAAGACGAUGUCCUUCAUGGAUUUUCCAUCCACCUUGAGAUCACGGGUGUAGUCCGCGAUCAUGAGGUGAUUGGCAUCGUGAUGAGGACAUGACUACCUUGGAUACGACCAAAAAUAUUGCAUACAUGCAUAUUUAUCAGGUGAUUUCUAGUGCAAACUAUUCAAUAAUCUAUUUAUAUUAUCCAGAACAAAAAUACUUCACACACUUUUGUAUUUUGUCUAAUUGCAGGUGUAUGGGACAUUUGUACAGUCCACAUAUGAAGAUAGGGGAAAAGGAGAAGUUUAGGUUCUGUUCAAAAAGUCGUCUCACGUAAGGAUUCAGAUUCGGACUGCAUAGACAUACCUGACUCAAAACGCCAACAACGUUUUCAUACGGACUCCGAAUUGGGUGAUUCUUUUUUUGUUGGAAAGUAGAUUUCAUCCUCUUUCCAACCCAAUUGGAUUCACCUUUAAAUUCGCCCGGAGCGUUGAGAUAUGGACGAAACAAUCUGACGCUGCAGCAGAAUCCGAGUCAAACAACAAGUCCAAAGGUGUUGCAUCACCUCCACUUGGGCCCAUGAGCCUUGUACGACCUAGGGUUGGUUUUAGGCUGCCUUGGGACGUCCUCCCACCUCCUUGGCCGCCACCCCUUGCUCCUAUAUAAGUAGAUCCAUCUAGUAGCUUUUUCUUUGGGAUUUGUUUAGUUAAAAGUUAGCCAUUGCAACUUCGUGUGCUUCGUUUGUGUCCACCGACCAGACCAAGACCACUUACGGAUCCCCACCAUUAUCAAUACUUCAUAUAUAUUCGCAAUAUUCAGAUUGCUUUAUCAUAUUCUUGCUCGUUCUUCGAUUGCUUGCAGGAAUAGACCUUCGUGGUCAGGCUGAUCGUGCUUCCGGCAUCAUCAGUAACCUCAGGAGAUUGGUUUAGCGAUUGCUAAAGCGCAACGUCGUGCACGUUUGUAGUCGGAUCGUCAAAGUCGACUCCACCAAAUCGAUAGUUAUCAUCUCAUCGGAAGAUCGGGACACCCUCGCCUCUAUCAAGUGGUAUCAGCUUUCAGGUUGCUCGGUGAGAAUUUCCAGUUUUUCGAGAUUAGAUUUAUUUUCUUACCCAUUGUCCAAGAAAAAGCGACAAAAAAAGUUAGAUCUAUUCAUCCUUUGUCCAAGCCAGUCUGAGCCUUUGUAGUUUUCUUUUCAUUGUUUGCAUUAUUGAAUUAUCGGUUGCAUCGUCGUGUCGAGUUGCUGGUCUUAGUGUCUAGUUCGUUUAGAGUUUCGAGUUUUGUUCACAUUAGUCACGUCGCCGCUGCAUCGUUAUCCCUUCCGCUGUCCACCACACCAUCCAUCAAUUUCCACCACGUGCUACCCAUAGUUCAUUGUCACAAUCAUAGUUGAGGUCGUUCACAUCUUCGCCUUAUCCAAUCUACAUCUUAUCAAGUUUGUCUUGGAAAGAGGGAGAGAAAAAAAGACAGAAAAAAAGAGAGAAAAAAAGAAAAAGAAGUCAGAGAAAAAAAGAGAGAAAGAAAAAGAAAAAAAAGUGUGAGGAAAAAAA
Molecule: long non-coding RNA, 87963 nt
Filed under: Triticum aestivum (bread wheat)
Lineage: Eukaryota; Viridiplantae; Streptophyta; Magnoliopsida; Poales; Poaceae
Description: long non-coding RNA (TAES_LNC024061)
Source: RNAcentral